RNAcentral lists this long non-coding RNA (45402 nucleotides) under Ananas comosus (pineapple). Its description in RNAcentral is "long non-coding RNA (ACOM_LNC004348)". The record is from RNAcentral. Lineage: Eukaryota; Viridiplantae; Streptophyta; Magnoliopsida; Poales; Bromeliaceae.
AGUUUAUCUAUCUACUCAGGAGGGGUGAGGAGCAUUCUUUCAUUCUUAAACCAGCUACUAGGAUGUGUGGAGAGAAUAGGAGUAAUGGCGAGGCAACUCCAACUCAUCCCCUUUCAAAGCUGGGUACAGCUGCAUCAAAUAUGCAUGUGGCAUUAAGGGUUAGCGAACAUAAGAAGGUUUCUCCAGCUGCUGAUCAGUAUGCAGUUCUAGUAUCUUGUCGCUGCAACUAUACAGGUAACACUUGAAUGAAACGAAACACCAAAUGCAUCAAAUGCUUCACAAGAAAUUUUAAGAGUCUAAACCUAACAAUUUUUUUUUCCCUUUUGUUAGAGUCAAAACUCUUUUUUAAACAGGCAACAAAUUGGCGGCCCUGUGUUGCCAGAGACCUUAUGAUCUCUGUAUCAUCUGAACCUUACAAACAAACUGUUGGACCAACUGCUAGAGUACCUCAACUGCCUGUUCAGGUUGUAACCACUCUUUUUCUAUUUUCACAUUCUUAUAUAUGUAACCCAAGAUACUUUUUAACUCUUGAUGUACAUUAAUAUUUUCUGAUUUUUCUGAGUCUCAGGUGCUUACACUUGAAGCUACAAAUCUAACGGCCGAAGAUCUUACUUUAACUGUUCUUGCUCCAGAAUCAUCUACUUCCUACUCUUCAGUUUUAUCAUUGAAUUCAACUCCAACAAAUCCGGUCAAUUCCUAUGAUGGUCUCAACGAGUACAUGGGAAGAACAGGCGGAGAUAAACGUGCAGCAAGAAUCCAAAGGUUGAGGUCUAUUCCUGCAGAUUCUCGAAAGGAAGUUGAUGGUGGUGAUAAUGAAUCAAGUAAUGCUGAAGGCUGUACGCAUCUAUGGCUGCAAAGUGCAGUACCUCUUGGGUACCUCUCUCUCUCUCUCUCUCUCUCUCUCUCUCUCUCUAGAACUGUAACAUGGACUGACACAUCUAUUGCGUGGUCAAACUAGAUGUGUUCCUGCACGUUCGAGUGCAACUGUCAAGCUUGAGCUACUACCAUUAACUGAUGGGAUCAUAACGCUUGAUACUCUUAAAAUAGCUAUCAAGGAGAAAGGUAUGGUUCUUAAAUUUUCACUGAAUUACCUGAAGCAAUAGUUAUCUGGUUUACAAAGAUAAAACCUUCAUGUGUCAUAAACUAGAUGUGUUCCUGCACAUUCAUUCACUCCUCACAUGUGCCAUUGAGGUAUCUAGACAUAAAAUUCAUAGGAAACUAAACUAUUAUGUAAUCCUUAUUCCUACUGUGACUUUUUCAAAGACCCUUCUUCACAGAAGCAACAUGUGAACACAUUAGCUGCAUUCAGCUCGAGUGUUUGAGAGUAUCUGAUAUUCCCCGUGUACUAGAUAUUUUAUUUUUUUUACAUAUAUAAGCGAAAAAUCUUCGAUCUUUCUUAUUACUGUUGGUUUCUUUCUGAAUGUUAGCUUUAACUGAAGGUAGCACAUGUGAAUGAGCAACUUACUGAAGUGUUCAACGGAAACCUGAUGACAUGUGAUAAAAUUUUGAACCUGUAUGAGACAUCCUUAUGAAUAAUAAUAAUAAUAAUAAAUCAUCUUUGAUCAUAAUAUAAUAUAAAAUGGCUGAGGUAUUAGGUAGCCAUUCUUGAGUUGAUGAGUCUGAUCAAGACGCUACAUUUCGUUUGGAGUUCUUCUCUUUCCACCCUUUAUUUAUUGCAGGCAGCUAGUAUCGAAUCAUCUCUUUCAACACCAACAUUCUUGUCAGUUCGCUUGUAUUAUCAAAGAUUAAUGGAAGAUAUUUCUACCUGCUACCUUUCAAUCUAUUUAGGUCUAACAUACAUACCGGAGCACUCAUUGAAGAUCUAUGCAACUUCAGGCAUUUCAACAGGGAUCUUGUAGGGUAAUUGCACCUUGAUCUCCAGCCACGACUACAAGCUCAUAACCGCUAUGGUAUACCGAAAUGUUGUUUGUGAGUUGUUCUUUAUCCUGAGCCCUGGCCUCAUGCCUAUGUGCAUUUCGUUAUUUUACGAUGACAUCUGUUGCCCAUUUGAGGGCUGAUGACAUCUGUUGCCCAUUUGAGGGCUGCUGUGUUGGAGAAUGAGUGCAUUGUUUUUUAGAGUCGAUUGGUAUAUCCAAAUUCAGUUGCAUCUUGUCAAUAGAAAAUGUCCAACAACAAAAACUUUAUCCGAUUUGUCUUCCCCGUCUAGGUGGGAAAGUUGGAGUUAUUUUCUGUUUUGUUGUUCAGCAAAAUGUGUGAAUUUCUCAUUCGGCUGUAUGAUAAUAAAGUAAAGAUUCAUGUCCAUCGCUUAUUAAUCUCUUGUUAAAUGUGAGAUGCACCAGUUAUUUCUUUUGUUAGCCAAAAUAGCAAUUGCCUGUGGAGUUGUGCUAGUCUUUUGUCCAAUAUUCAUUUAGGCGGUGUCUGGUUCCAUGUGGAAGAGUGCUCGAAAACAAGUUUUGAGGUGAAAUGGCGAAUUCACAUGUAAAGCGAGACUUUAUUUCUCGCAAUCGGCUUGCAUGUAUUACUCGCUGGUUUUUGGAUAUUGACAUGUAAUUUAUUGUUAGAUCGCUUGUUACUGUAAUCGUUUCCUGUGUUGAUAGUUGUUGUCAUAUGCAAAUAAACGUGAAGAAAAUGGAAGCUGUUCUUGGUGUUUGAACAAAUUAUUUUUUCGGGCUUCAAAUUCGGGAGAUUUUCCCGAACCAAGGCUCGAGAUUGCUUUGAACAAGUCGGUAACUUAGCCAAAUCUAACUUUUCGAAUUUGAUACAAAAGAAAGCUAUCACUUUGAUUCCGUAUGAAGUUUGUAUUUAUGUAGUCAAGUAAACUUGUGAAUGUCAAAAGCGAAAAAAAGAAAAAAAAAAAAAAUUGAAAGUUUUGUUCUUAUGGUUUUAGAUGUGAUAUAGCGUACUAAAAGAUCUGUAUCUUAAAAGCUAUGUACUUCUCAUAUAAAUAUAUAUAUUGAGUCGAAGAUUUUAAAAUAUCUAGCUUAGGCCCACAUGCGUAAACUUCUCGAUACUUGGACUCGCCCGCCACGUGGCGGAAGACGCUUAUCUGUAUUUGAUAGCGAUGCACUAUCGCGUGCGAUCCCUCUUGGCGUUGGAUCCUUCAGAGCGAAGUAAACCAAGCCCGGCUAGGAAACAAAUUUAACCCAUCUAAAUUUCUAUGCGGAGGAUCAUCCACCGUUCGCUUCCGCAACAUUGCGCGCGAUCAAACGCUCGGUACCACUCUCCGCAUAAAAGGAUCUAUAGGGGCUGCGCGAGCCUUAGUUCCGUCCUCUUCCGUCGCCGUCCCCAGUGAAGCAGGUGACAACGCGGAGGAGUGGGUCGGUUUCUUUCCUCUUUCCUUUCUCUUUAUUUUAUUGUACACAAAGGAGAAAAAGAUUAGAACCCAAUAACGGUUCCGACGAUUAGAUUACGAGUUUGAUUCGAUCGAUAGGGAUUGGAAAUCGCCAUGUCGAUGCUCGAUUCCUUCUUCAGCAAGGGCGCGUUCAAGGGUUCUAAAUGGUAAAUCUUCGCUAUAAUGUUUCUUUGCCGAGUCCCUAUUUUCUCUAAUUUGAUCGGGUUUUCGACUAAUUGUGAGAUUUUUCUUAGCAAACCUAGUGGGAAUUGUUGGGGAUUCGAAGUUAGAUUAUUAGAUCUUAUGAGUAUUUUAGAGAUUUUUCUUUCUUCUUAAUUGAGAGAAGGGUUGAUCUGGUGGAACCUAUGCCUUUUCCUGUAUUUGAUCAGCAAAACGUUGUUGAAAUUGACGAUUCCGAGGAUAAAAUUGCUGCGGAAUCGAAGGGAGAUUCAGCUGAAGCAGAUGCGCAAGGAUAUAGCGAAGCUUCUGGAGAGUGGGCAGGAGGCGACCGCUCGGAUAAGGGUAUGAUGCAUUUCCUCGUUAGCAUUAUAAAGCAUAAAAAAGGAACGCUUUAUAUCAUUUUGAUGAAUUUGUUUGGAUUGAUCAUCGUCAAUGGUUCAUAAGAUUGGACGCACGUGUACAUAAUAUGAAACAGCUUAGAUCUUUAGCAGGAUUGAUUUUAUCUGUUAUUGCUUGCAGGUGGAACAUAUAAUCAGGGAGGAGAACAUGAUGGCGGCACAGGAGAUUCUUGAAUUGUUUUGUGAACUCAUUGCUGUUCGGCUUCCCAUAAUUGAAACACAAAAGUAAUCUAAUAACAAAUUUGGUUCUUCCCACUAUCUUUCAUGUUUUGCUAAUGUCUUCUCAGUUGAUUAUGGUCAUUUUAUCAUCCAAAUAUGUACUGUCACUAUAUCAUAAUUUUUUGCUAAUUUUAUCACAUCGGAUAAUCAAUAGGAAAACUUCAUCUUGGUUAUCCGAAUAUUUUGAGUAUAUUAACAUUUUCAUCAAACUGAAAGGGUGUUAUUGCAACAAAGUGCUAAGGUACCAUAUUCUAGGAUAAAAUGUACAUUACAAGUUUGAGGAACCCUUGUGCAUUCUAUCGUUAAGUCUUAUAUACCAUAUUGUAGAACGAAGAGGAUAAAUUUCUACCCAAGUUUUUGGAUAGUAGUUUUAAGGAGCAUGCGAAGCUUUAGUUAUCUUAUUUUACUGGAGUCGCAGAUUUGUAGGAAUCACUUCUACCAUGGGAAACAAUAUCUUAGGUGUUAAAAAAAUAUCUUAAAUCUUACCAAGUAGCCUAUUUUUUUCUUUUGCUAUGACUUGUGAACGAAGUAUCAGAUAGUCCCAUUCUAAUGAACCCAACAAUGGCUCUUGGGACUUGUCAGUGGUCUUAGUUUUAAUCUUCCUUUUGGUAAAUUUGGUGUGCGAAAAAUAUCUAAAUUGCACGAGCAUUACUAAUCACUGAUCCCUAAUUUUUCUUCUAUUUGUUGAGUUCGGUAACAUUCACAUAAUUUUUCUCCCCUGAUGAACUGAAAAUUUAUCAUUAUGUCCCUAAGUUUUUGUUCGCAUACUCGCUUUAUUUGCAUCCAUCAUGACGUCUUUUGGUAGGUAUUAUGAUUUUGCCCACCUUGCAUUUCAUCGUCUUCAUCUGGGUUUUUGUGUUAAUCUUUGAAGUUCUUACUGACAUCCUCCUAUAUACAUCCAUCUGCAUGUUUCACCGUGUCCAAAACCAGUUUUACCGGAUAAUACAAUCGGUUGCAUGUAUUCUGCCUCUGAAUAUUGUUAUUCAGAGCUUGUUUUUGCUUAUAAUUUGUUUUGCAAGGUCAUGAGCACAUCAGUAUCUCCUCUUGUUUGGUCAGACAUUCAGUAGGUAGGGAAUUUUGUAAUUCUUUAAAUCCUUUUGGUUGACCUAACAUAAAUUAUGUUUAAAUUUGUGGUCAAAUACAAGUUCAGAUAAGAGAGUGGCAUGCUUUGAAAUAGUCAGACAGCAAAUAAAUUUUCGUCUGCUUGCUUAUAGAUUUUGAUCGAUCCUGUUUAUUUGAUGCAUUAUUCUGAUGUUCUAACCUAUCAAAUCAUUUCAAUAAAUCACUUUCAUAAGGCCAAAUAUGGAUAAUUUAUCAAAUCAUUUUCUGUCUCUUUGUUCAGAGAAUGCCCUCUAGACCUUAAAGAAGCAAUAUCCAGCAUCUGUUUUGCUGCACCGAGAUGUGCGGAUCUUCCUGAACUUCAGCAAGUCCAGAUGCUAUUCGCUGCCAAAUAUGGCAAGGAAUUUGUUACAGCUGCCACCGAACUUUUGCCAGAUUGUGGAGUCAAUCGCCAGGUUACAAGAACUUUCAAUCAUUAGUAAUUUUUUAGGAGUAAAACGUAUGGAUGGUCCCUGCGCAAUCCAAAAUAUUGUGUAGUGUCCCUGAAACACUUUAGUUUUGAACUUUCUCAUAUGUUGCUAUUUCAUUCGUGACCACAAAGGAAAUCUAAAAUUUCUCAUUUAGAAGGGUCAUCUUACCCCUCUUCAAUGGCUUCCUUAUUUUGGUGUGCUGAAGAAAAUCACAUAUUGUCGACUAUGUAGUGUCCAGGGAUGGAAUUCCAACAUGUCAGAAAGUUCAGGAGUAAAGUGUUUAGUUAAUAGUUUUGAGGAUCAUCCACACAUUUUAAACUAUUCUGAUUCAUUACCUCAAGUAACAGCCAUAUUUAAUUCCUGGGAACUCCACUGUGCAGAUAAUUGAAUUAUUGUCGGUUCGUGCACCUUCUGUGGAAGCAAAAUUGAAAUUACUGAAGGAGAUAGCCGAAGAGCACGAAUUAGAUUGGGACCCAUCAGCCACAGAAACGGAAUUUCUUAAACCCCAUGAAGAUCUCUUGGUAAGUUUGAAGCCAUCGGGUGUCGUAUAUAGUUCAGAUUUUUCAUUUUCUGAUUAAAUUUGUUUCUUUUCUAUAGAAUGGACCGACUCAAUUUACCAAUGGUUCCACAUUGUCGCUGCCCAAAGAGAAACAUGAAGAUACAUUAGCUCCCAAAACUAUGGAUGAGUCGCAUGAUGAACCCGAUUCAGAUGUGGGCUUUGAUUCGUUAGAUUUGCCUGAGGUUCCAAAAGUUUUAGUCCAACCAAAUUCUGACAUUCAAUCUGCUCAAAAAAUGGCUCCGCAUUUUCCUGCCUCUCCUUCAGUGGAUUCUGAGCUUGGCCAUGAGGUCUCUGGAUCUACUCAAUUUGGUGGAGAUUUUGGAAAUGAAAACAAACAGUUCAUCCCUUUCAUGUCUCCCCCAUCAUUUUCUUCAGCCCCUAUCAAGCAAAUAAAUCCAGAACCAUGGUCACCACCGUAUUCAUCUCCUUCAACAAAGCAAAGUGAGCCAGAAUCUUCACCGCCAUCAUUUUCUUCUAUAUCUCAGACCCCAAAGCUAAGCGAGCCAUUUGAUCCAACUUCCUUGAAAGAAAAAGGGAAACAAGCUUCAUCUCCUUCUCGAACUAAGAGUGGGGCCAAUGUAGACUUGCAAGAUGUAUUGGCUGCUGCACGCACGGCUGCUGAGACCGCUGAACGAGCUGCAACAGCUGCUCGUGCUGCUGCGAAUCUUGCACAGAUUAGAAUCUCCGAUCUUGUAGCAAAGAGACACACAGGGGUUUCUGAUGGUCAAGAUGGUGAACUCCAGAGUGAGUAUUCUCAUCGAGUGGAGAAGAUGGAGAAACCAGUAUUUGACAAACAAGAUUCAUUUUCCCAUGUUGAAGGUGAUGCUGAUUACAAACUGAAGUUGCACGACGUGCCAGAGAUCACAAGCGAAUCAUUUAGUCCAAAGGAGCAAGUGUCUGAGUUCCAUCCAUCUCAUGCCCCGCAACGACUGGGAUCUUUGGAGGAUGACCCCUAUUUCUCCUACCCCAACCUCUUUACAUCUCAAGGAUCCAAACCUUGAUUCAGUGUAUUCUCACAUGGGGUAGAAAUCAAGGGCCCUCUCAUUUAUAAAGAGAUUGAAGAACGCCAUUUAUGUUUGCAUUUGCACUUGUUUCAAGCAGCCCUACCUGCGGUGUGGAGAUUCACAAGUAUGAGUUCUAUACCUAUUACGUAAUCUGCUGCUGUUAAAAUUAUAGUUUGUGCUUGUGGAUGCGUUAUCUCUUAUAUAUAUUUUGUAAAUUUAUGACCUGAUAGCUAGACCUUCUCUUUGGAUGUAAUGAAUGCAAAUAAAUUACAUAGAACGGUUUUGCUUUCCUCCCGUGGUUCUGCUGAUGUUCCUACAAUUGCGAAUACUUUCCAAGCUGUAGUUCAUACCUGUCUUUGGAACUACUGAUAUGAUACGAAAAUUUGAAUAUGACGGCCUCUUGGGCUCACAUAUUCCGCUCAGUGGACGAUCCACAGAGUAUUUUGGGUUUGCCGGAGGGAUGUUAAGUUACAAUAUCAACAAAUUCAGGAGAAAUAGCCCAUCAGGUUAUACGAGUAAAGACGAGGAAAGGAACCGUCCUCGUUUACUUGAAAUUCAUAAUCUAAUACACGUGUUUUAACUGGUUAGUUCCCCUGGCGGACCCAGUCACAAUUAACAUAACAUUGACCGCAAACGUUGGAAUGAGAGAAACGAAUACGACCGGGCAAAGUUCUAAAAGCUCUGGUACAACAAAAUAUUUGAAGAGCUAACCCGCAGAGAGAGUAGAAACAGCCUAUCAUCCUCGUGCAUUAUUUUUUCCAAGCUAACAUUAUCCCCUAUCUCAGAAAGGUUAAAUUACUGGAAGAUGACGAAGUAUAUCAACUUUUUCUCAGCUGAAUAACUGACUGACUGCAAUUCCAGUACAUGAAUGCUGACCUGUUCAACACCCUGCUCGAACAACCCUUUUUUCAUGCAUGGAUUCUCAAGUACCGUAAAAAGGAUGCCUUGGACCAGUCAAAUCAGUUUACUGAAUUUCCCUUUGUGAUCUCAGCAGCGGUUAUUAUCCUGGAAAACAUGAAUAUAUAAGCAGAUCUUUCAAUACACUGUCGGGUAAAUCAUGUCACACCUUCGGCUUGGUAUGUGGCUGUAUAAGCCCAUAGGAUUUGAAAUCUUCCUGCUCAUCCGAUUAGUGAGGGAAUCAUUUCUGGAACAACUGGUUCUGUAUGUGUUGCUACCGGCUAUGCACAUCUAGGAGCUUUCAUCAGAAGGGCAGCCAUCUGAAGUGUCAUCAAGAAUAUCCCCGCAGCUCUCCUGAUGGCUACCUGAAACAAUCACUGAUGGGGAAGACUUCUUGUCGACAUUAUUGCAGGUGUUUGAGUUGUAGUUCUUUCCCCUCCACACUACAAUUUGCUCCUUGUCAAAUGUCACAAGAAUGCAAGGAACCAGGUCCUGUAUUCAUACAUGCAUUAAACAAAAUCCAUCAAUUUUUUUAGUAAAAAGAAAUUUUGUUCCCAUUUAUUACGGAAAAAAAAAAAACACUAAUUCACAAUCGAAAAGUAUCAAGAGCACAAAAAUUUAUCAAUUUUCGAGGAUGAAAAAAAAAAUUGAGUAAAGACCAAUAAGCUCUUACUUCACCAUAUAUACUUACCCUGAGCUUAACGCCGAUCUUCUUAUAGUCACUUAUUGGCAGUCCCUUGCAGUCUAUUCGGACGAGCUCAUCAGUUAAAAAAGCAUCCCGAACCAUCGGUACCAGACUAGCAUAAUAUCCGUUCUUGGCUGCACGAUCAGAUCAAACAACUAAUGACUAUUUAUUCAAUAAAGAUAUAGAUUAUAUAGAAGUUGGAAUUAGUUUUACCAAGCUUCGUCAAGACAGGAACAGCAAGGCCUUUCUUCCUCAUUUCCUUCGUCUCCUCAAUAGUUAGACCCUCAAUAGUAGUUCUAAUCAACCUCGGAUAGAUUGGGUCAUGAGGUUUCCACAACAUUAAAGGAAUUACAGGCCUUUUCUUCGGAUUGUAGUGCCUUCCUCUAUACAGAAUGAUCUGACCGCCAUGCCUGUGGAUGAUUAGACCGCCAGUCCUUUCCUGAAAGCAUGUGUGCUGAUUUCCAGUUAUGAAGCACGUGACAAAAGCGUAGAAGGAGCAUACAAAUGCAUAGCCAAUAGAAAAUAAUAUAACUAAUAAAAGCAUGAAGUUAAGAGGAGCAACCUAAUUUAAACAACAAGCUAUAAUUGGUGAUCUAAUUUCGUUUUAAGAAUCACAAGAAUAAUGCAUCUUCUAUCUCAUUGAACCCAAACAACACCUUCUUUUGAAGGUAAGAAAGGCAUGGAUGCAGCAAGAUGAUCGAUAUGAAAAUUAUGAAGAAAAUAGAAUGCUUCAAUAACAUAGAGGUCAGGAUAAUGAACUCAGUUUUUAACAAGCAGGCAACUUUCACGACUGAGUUCCUAUAACUGUGGAGCUUCCAUUCAUGAGGGAUUAGGACAGAUCUUCUUUGCGUUCUAUUUGGCUCAGCAAAUUAACACUAUUGUACUAAGAUUCACACAUCCUGUUCCAGGAAAAUAAACCACGCAAAAAAUGACAGUAACAUAUACUUCAUGCGAUCCUUCCGUAUAAUAGCAUGCACAGGCAUAUGCAAGGUGGGCUACCUCAAGCUGGGUGCAGACAUUUUGCAUAUCAACUGUUGGCACUCCAAGACAUUUUAUCCUCACAACUUCAGCACUUUUCCAAUUAUUGUGAAUGUCAUUCAACAUGUUGUGUGUGAGGCCAUCUCUCCCUGAGAAAAGAAAAGGCAAUGGCUAAUUUAUAAAUAUCUGCAAUAAAUUAACUGCAAAAAGCAUCAACACUAAGAAAAAGUCGAAAACAAAAGAUGCAUAAAUUGCACUUUUAUAUGGUUUAGGAAGAGUUAGAAGACAUUCAUCUGAUCUACACCCAGAAGACCGAUGUGGAACCCUAACAUAAAAUAGCACCAAAGCAAGUUUGAGAACAAAUUGGCAAAUGUACUGCCCUAGUUUAUCUACAUCUGACCUACUUUAUAUCAAACAAGUGCACUUCCAGGAGCCAAGCGCCAGUCCAUAUAGUAACCAAGCAGAUUAGAAUAUUAUGCGGCCUAAUAAAGAGAAAAUCCAAAGCCACUGGCUCGCUUUAAUCGUUAAACAAAAAUGACUUGUUCUGCAAAGUUCCCCCUUUGUGUUCCCGCUCUUCUGUAGCGGCUUUCGUGCCCCAUUCUCUAGCUUGUUCAUUUACUAUUGGUGCAUACGGAUACACUAUGACUACUCGCAACUUUUGAACAAGUCGCAGAAACCCAAUCAGAUGCUAUCACCCAUUACUCUAUCAUCAAAAGGUGCAGGUUUUUAUCUCGGAAACACAUGAUGCCUAACCUGAUCUUAAUAAGAACCCAAACAACGUCAAACUUUACAACAAAAUAGAACCUGAACACGUUAAUUUUCCGGAUGGAGCCCGACCAAGAAAAUAACAUUCACAUAUGAUAAUCUAAUGCCCACCACAUAAUUAAUUUUAGCGUUAAUAGGCAAAUUAAAACAAAGUAGAGACAAAUUAAGGAGAAGAAACAAAAGAGAUUACCCAGAUUGACCUGGCGUUUGGUCCGAUUCUUCUGGCACUUGUCGAUCAGAAACUUCCUCUCGGGCGGCGACAGCGGGGCGCCGAGGAUCCUCUCCCUCAUCUUCCUCGCCUUCUCCGAGUCCACCGCCGCGCCCGGCUCGUCGCCAUCGACGGACCGCAGCGUAGGGUCGACCGCGGGGGCGGCCACCCCGGUCCAGACCCGGUCCAAGCGGCCCGGGCCGAAGGGCGAGUACUUGGGCUCGCGGAGGCCGAUGGGCUUCACGCUGGGGUCGCUCUCCGUGUAGCUGAACCGGAAAUCGAAGGGGAGGUCGGAGUGGACCGGUUUCAGCCCGGUCCGGUCGAGCGAGGAGGGGGGCUUGUAUGGAGGCUUCUUCUUCUUGCUCGUCGUGGAGAGGUCGGAGUCGUGGGAGCUAGGGUUAGGGUUUGGGGGGAGGAGGGAGGGAGGGGGGACGAAGCCGUAGCGAGUUCUUUUUUUUGUGUUUGGUGUUUGUUUGGCCCGCUGCUGCAGCUCGCUCCGGUGAACGGGGAAGUCGAAAGAGUAGAGAGUAGAGAGUAGAGNGUCGGAGUGGACCGGUUUCAGCCCGGUCCGGUCGAGCGAGGAGGGGGGCUUGUAUGGAGGCUUCUUCUUCUUGCUCGUCGUGGAGAGGUCGGAGUCGAGGAGGCGAGGGUUUGGUUUUGGCGGGAGAGAGGUGGGACGAGCAUUACGGGGAUUGGGAGUUCUUUUUUUUGUGUUUGGUGUUUGUUUGGCCCGCUGCUGCAGCUCGCUCCGGUGAACGGGGAAGUCGAAAGAGUAGAGAGUAGAGAGUAGAGACUGUAGAGAGCGCCUAAAAAGUGAUCGAAUAGAGGUGCCGUUUUCUAUUUCGGCCGCGACCCAAUUCCCCGUCCGAGUCCGUUCCCCUCUUCACGAGUUCACUGCUUUGUUACAAAAUGCAUCUAUUGCGCGCGUGCAUUCAAAAGCUGAGUUUAAGAUUGUGGACCCAGCCAUAUCAUUCUUUCUAGAUUUUUUAUGUUAAGGAAAAUAUAUAAGACUAAUUAGACAAUAUUAGCUCUUGAACGGAUGAAAUCUAAAGGAUAGCAUUGUGGACCCAGUCAGAUUUUUUUUUCGUGGAUUUUAAUAUAGAAUAGAAUCAAUCGUUUCUAGCCAAAUUAGUAACAUCAGGUUGUGGUUUCUCUUCACCAAUCAAAACUUUCUUUGUGAGCAAUCCAAUAGUGCAACAGGAUAUCUUUUAUUUUAUAUAUAUAUAUAUAUAUAUAUAUAUAUUGAGAGAGAGAGAGAGAGAGAGAGAAGAAUUUAUCGACAAGAACAAAACGUUAGAUUUUACAGGCAACUGUUACAGUGAACAUGCAGUAAAACCACCAGUAAUAGCACUCGAGUCACCAAUUGUAAUAAGUAACUAACCAUAGACUCACGAUACAACAUAAUUCACAGAUGCAUUGAGAAAAACAGCUGGUAUUGCCGACAGGUAUAACCAAAUUAUAUUGAUUAUUACAAAAAAGCCAAUUAUGAUUUGGUAGUACUACCAUAGAUAAGCCCAUGCGAGUACGAAAUGUCUUCAAUGUUCAAGCACUAACAAAAUGUGUAGAUACAUAUACCGACGCAACAUAUGCUGCAAUGUGGGAGUAAUAUGUUGCUGCAAUGUGGGAGUAUAUUAUCGGUCCAGCUAUUUGCCUUCAGCAAGAUAACGAACGACGAGAUGUUAAUGAGGGGGGAAAAAAAGAAAAGGAAGAAGAAAGCGAGAAAAAAUUACACGACAUCAAUAAAUUACUGCAGAUCAUACAUUUUGGCCCACUGAUUCAAUUGCACAAUAAAAAUUUCACUAGGAUAAAUAAUGGGCUUAUCGAGAACACAACAUUAGAAGAUAAAAAUAAUUUAUAACACACAUGAUGAUGAUUUGUCACCUUGGACCGGACAGUUCAACAGCAUGAAGGUUGUCAGUUGAAUCAACAAUCCACUCAGAAGGGCGGUGUGGGGCCAUCUCAAUUUCCUGUCGCACCACCUCCACUUUCUGCCAUUCCUCCCAUCUCUCAGCAAGGCCGUCGCCUUCGAGCAUUCUCACCACUUCCGACAUUUUAGGCCGGUCCAUUGGAGAUCCCUGUGUGCAAAGCAGUGCGACCUGGAUAAGUGAUUCCACCUCAGCCUCCACGUAGUUGUUUUGUAGAUCUGGGUCCACCAGCAUUUCCAGUCUCUUCUCCUUCAGAAGACCUUUUACCUGCCGGCAGAAGAAAGUUAUACAAGUUCAUCAAAUUGAACAAGCACCAAUGGUCGCAUUUCCUACGCAUCAAAAGGUGAUUUUUGAUCUAAACAAAGAAUAAUGAUAUGCAAUAGGACCAUAACUGUUUCUGUGGGAAUAUGAAAAUUGCCUGAAAAAGUCUGAUGAUUUGGCUCUUUUUUGCGGCAUUAGUGCCUUCAUGUGUGUGUAUAGAGUAAAGAAGUGCUUACCCAGUCAAGCAACAUGACAUCAUCAUCGUUUGCAAGCCGAGCAAGAUCAAAAGCCCUUUGUCCAGUAAUGAGCUCCAAAAGCAUGAUCCCAUACCCAAAAACAUCAGUUUUUUCAGAAGACUUUCCUGUGGAAAGGUACUCUGGAGCAAUGUGCCCAAUCGUUCCACGGACAGCAGUUGUUACAUGGGUAUCCUUGUAAUCCAUAAGUUUCGCCAAGCCAAAAUCCCCCACCACCGCUUCAAACUCUUCGUCCAGUAAGAUAUUUGCAGCUUUCACAUCACGGUGAAUAAUCUUGGGAUCACAAUGGUCGUGCAAAUAGGAUAGUCCCCUCGCAGAUCCCAAUGCAAUUCGUUUUCGUGUCGGCCAAUCAAGCGGUGGCUCAGAUGGAGGACGCUCUACAAAAUGGAACCAUACUCUUGAGGAUAAUGCGAAUGUAAUCACAACAAUAACAUUUAUAUUUAGGGUGUGCUGGCAUUGUUGUUUACUUGUUUGUGUUCCUCAUGUUCUAUACAAUUGAAGGACCGAUGGAUGGAUUACAUUAUUCUUGUGAGUUGUCAGUUUGCAGACUCACCUCCUUUAUUUUCACCUCUCUGUCGGUGAUAUCCAUAAUGCGAAGUUGGUAAACAAUAUAUGAUAAUAAAAAUUAAUAAAGACCAUUCCUAGGUAUCUUCAAUUGCACGGAACUUGAGAAAAAUGCUAUACAAAAAGAAGCCUUAUUAUUAAUGCUCAACUUGUACUAAGUUAUCAUAUUGUUUGUUAAAUAUUAUAACAGGGCACAUAAGAUUUCUUAGGAGCAAAUAAAAGAGGAAAAGAGGAAUAGUUACAUAGGAAAACAUAAGAGCAGGGAAGCAAUUAAAAUAGGAAGAUAAGAGAUAAGCACCUCGUAAGCAUGAAGCAACACUUCCGUUAGCCAUGUAGGGAUAGACAAGCAAUCUCUCAGUGGGCGUCAUGCAAAACCCACGAAGACGGAGUAGAUUUCUGUGUACAGCCAUACUGAUCAUCUCCACUUCUGUCUGGAACUGAAGCUCCCCACCAGGUGUGCGUUCUUCUUUUAGUCUCUUUACUGCUACCAAUGAUCCAUCCGCAAGCCUCCCUUUGUAGACCUUUCCGAAGCCGCCUCUUCCCAGGAUAUUCUUAUUGUUGAAGCCGUCAGUUGCAACUUGCAGCUCUCGCAGCGAGAAUCUUUUGAGCUGGCCAAGAUGAACUUCUGGAUCCUCCUCAGCUGCAGAUAAAAGAAAAAAAAAUUUGAUAAAUAUGUACUCAAACAAUUGGCAUUGAAUAAGUAUUACAAUGGCAUGCCAUGUAAUACCAACCAGGUACAUCAAAGAAAUGCUCUUGUGGCUUGCGGCGGCGCCACCAUGCAAACCCAAUAGCGGGAGCAGCAAAUAAAAGCGCAGCACCUGCAGCAACUCCCCCAGCGAUUGCUCCAGUGCUGGAGGCACUACUUCCUGUUUUAAAACAAAAAAUAGUGAAAAAAAAAAAAGAGGAGUUAAUAGCAUAAGGUACGGCUAUCUGCCUAGCAGGUUCAGCAAUAUACCGAAAUCUCAUAUCGGCGAGACUAGUAGCAGUUAUUUGAAGAAAAAAAAGUAACAACCAAGGAAGAGCUCAAAGACAACAUAGUUUUUCUAUUUAAACAACAACAAGUAGAAGACAUUAGGUUAAAGCUUAAUGACAUGGCCUAGUGCUCCAAAUAUAUAUUGACAUGGCAUAAGGAGUGUCAUAAGGAGACAAUAUUGAGUAGGUCAUUUUCUAGAGUACAUUUAUAAGCCCUUUUCUAGGCAAUUUCAAUUAGUAAACAAUGUGUGUGUUAGAAAUCUCCCUUCUAUUAUUUUUGGUAAGCAGAGGCACCAUAUGAUUUUGUAUUCUAUAAGAUUAUCCUAAAGAAGUUGGACGAUUUCUAACACACACAUUGUUUACUAAUUAGGUCAUUUUCUAGAGUACAUUUAUAAGCCCUUUUCUAGGCAAUUUCAAUUAGUAAACAAUGUGUGUGUUAGAAAUCUCCCUUCUAUUAUUUUUGGUAAGCAGAGGCACCAUAUGAUUUUGUAUUCUAUAAGAUUAUCCUAAAGAAGUUGGACGAUUUCUAUAAUGUGUAUUAUCAUUAUUACAUUCAAGUCGAUGUUUAAUACAAACUCUCAAUAAAAAAAAGUUAAACAUUAAACGAGUAACUAUACCUGGUGAUUGUACUAGUACUGGAGGAUUAUAUGGAGGAGGUGGAGAAAAGGGGGGAGCACCAGGGCAGGGUUUAGUGGUACCCGGACCGCAUAAAAGAGGGUUGUUAGCAAAACUGCAGAGUGAAACACAUGGUAAGCAAUAGAUAUCAUCCUGCAAAGAUGAAGAACCCAAAAGUUUCAGAAAGUAGCAGGGAAGGUACCUGAUUGGGGUAAAUAAUGAAAAGGAUCCAGUGGAUGGAACUUCUCCAGAUAAAUUGUUAUUUGACAAAUCCCUGUAUGUCAAUCUCACCAUAUAUAAGAAUGCUUGUAUAGGAGAAGAAAACAUUGCAGAUAAUUUUACAAGGUAAUGAAAAAAAAAACAACUUACAGCACUUGGAGGGCACUGAUAUUGGUUAGAGAUUUGGGUAUUGGACCAGAAAGGCUGUUGUUGUUAAGCCGGCUAUCCUUCCAUAAAAAAUCCAGAAAAGAAGAAGCUUAAGUUAUAAACCAGAAAUAUACUUCAAACCAGAUAUUCUACUUUAAACAUCUAAAGACAAUGUUAGGGAAGCAGAAGAAGAUUGUUCUAAUUGAGGAAAAGAUGAGUAUUCAUACAGGAAGCGUAGUUUUGACAGAUUUCCCAAUGAAUCAGGUAUUUCCCCUGUAAAGUUGUUCAAGUACAGGUCCAAGCUCACCAAGUUUGUAAGGUUUCCAAGUUCACUAGGUAUUAUACCGCUUAUGUUAUUACUGUAAAGUUCCCUGACAGCAAAAGAUGAAAAUCAUCAUACUUCUUAGAAUGUAUUAUGCAAGAAAGAUGUAGUGGAAAAAUGCCCACUCCCAAACUGAUAUGCACCGACAGAUUACACGCAAUUAGCUGAGGGUAAAUUUCAUUGAAGUUCGGAAGAACCUAAGCAUGUACGAUGUAUGAAGUUCCAAAAUUUUGCAAAACAACCACUGAAAUACUGUCAACAUUAGCAUGAUAUACGGAACUCACAGGUAUUGCAGAUUUUUCAGCUCACCAAGCUGCGGAACCAACGUACCAGACAGUGCUGCAUUUCCAAGAUCGCUGAAAUAAAUAAAACAAGAGCUGCUCAGAUAGGCUAAAAAAUAAAUUGUUAUAUACUAUAUAAAGAGCAAAAUACACCUACUUACACUCUGAUGACACUAUUAUCAUUGUUACAUGUAACAUGGAACCAUGUGCACGGAUUAACGAGCGUUGGAUCCCAACUUUGCAGCACAUUGUUGGGAUCAUUCAAGUUGGUCCGUAAGCUAUGCAAAGCAUCACCUAUAGAUGGAAGAAUGAUGUUGCUAUCAGGAAUCACAUAAGCAUCAGGAACUAAUUAAAACACAAAGUAAGCAGAUAAACUCAGUAGAAAAGGCAAGUCAAGGAAAAGCUUCAGUUCAUUUCUUGGCAUUAUUCUUAAAAUGAUACAAACAUCAAAUAUUGAAAUGACCAGAAAAUAAUUGAGUAAUACAAAGUGUAAUCAUAACAUCAAGAAUAUUCCAACAAUGUAAGUCAGAUUUACGGAUUCUCUCACGAAUAACUCCAGCUAAAGGUAAAAUAAUGCCAUAAUCUUGAUAGGAAAUCCUCUAAUAUUACUUCUUGUGUGUCAGAAGGCUCAUAUCCACAGUCCAUACUUGGGUAGAGUAAAAAGUCACUUCCUUGGUGUAAUUGAGAUUUCAAAAGUUCACUACAUGUUAUAUAUAUCACUUCAGCAGCCUGCCCACAGUCCAAAGUUCAGUAACUUAUAAGAGAAAACCAGAUUUUAAUACUAUCAGUAUUAUCAUAAGACUAAAUUAUCUGAACGAACAUACUAAAACCCCAACUAUAGUAAGUACUCAAAAGUUAGAGUUCCCAGAUACAGCAGAACCAUCAAAUAGCUAGUACUAUUUGUGUACCAAUAUAUCCUCGUUUAAACAAAAUAAAUCUAGUUGAACUUCUAUUCAUAGUACGUAGCUGAGCGCUGAGCUUUUCAAAGUCCGAACACCUCAUCACCCAACUAAACCAUAAAUUACGCAAAGAAGCAAAAUUUUGUCCAAAUUUUCCACUAAUCGAUCUAGUAACUGAGGACGAAGGGAUCUACUAAACCUGCCGUGGUAAAUACUCCACGAAACCUACCAAUUCGACAAGCGCAUUUCGAACCCUAAACUCCAACCUCGUCGCUCGCCUUCGAAAUCAAACACAAUAAACCAAAAAAAUUACACAAUAUCAGCUAAAAUCCAAACACUAGCACGCAAUCAAACCUUCCAUGUUCGCACGAACCCUGGCAAGGGGGUGGAACACCAAGAUUAGCCACAGAAACCACGCCGCCGCCGCCUCCCUCGCCGCAGCCAUUGCCAUUGCCGCCGCCGCGAGCUCCGCCGCUACUCCGCUAGAUCCGCCGCCAUGCUCCGCCGCUCAAACCCUAAAUCGACCCCAAACCCCUAAGAAAUCCUCGGAUCCACCACCAUUUUCAUCACGUCCGAUUCGCCCCCAAAUCCCCCCACGCCGAGCACCGCACGAUGAAAAGGGAUCAGAGAUUCGAAAGCGAUCCGACGAAGAUUCGAGCAAACCUUUAUCCCCUUCUUUUCACCACGCCCUCCUCUCUCUCUCUCUCUCUCUCUCUCUCUCUCUCUCUCUCCCCCCCGCUUCUACUUUUUUCUCCCUUUUUCCAAAGAAUACGUCUAAUUUAUUUCUUUAUUAUCUUCUUCGGAAAAAUAGCGGGAUAUUUCUUUUUGUUCGGCUUUCUCAGUGCGGGGAGUGACUGAGGAGAAGGGUUUGGCAUUUCGCGUGCAGAGAGUGCCGGGGCUGCCCGUGAUGGGCUCUGCCCGCUGCCCGCUGCCCGCUUGCUCGCUGCUAGGAGCAAACGGAUCCGGGUGACGAACACCGUACAGCGCGGAUCUCAAAGCGCUGUCGAUCGUCGGGUUGGGCCCCGCUGUUCUUUGUGGAUGAGCAACGCUGUACGCUGUUCGGUCCAAAACCACCUAAAGAGCCCCACCGCUGCGGUCAACGGUCGCUUGUCCAGGGCCACCGUCCACGUCAGAUUCGGUCAAAAGUUCCCAAAUAUCUUCUUUUUCGGAUAGUAUAAAAUGACGGCGACGGAGGAUAAAGGGGAUGAAAGAAAAUAUUAAUUAAAAAAAUCUAUAUCAAAUUAGGUCUAAUUACAAAUCGUCCCAUCAUGUGAGGUUUAAUUGAAACAUUAAUUCGUUCUGCGGAAUAGUUCAGAUUUAGAUUUUUAUUUAACCAAAAAAUAUAUUAAUUGUUCACGUUUUAAACAUCUAAGAAUUAAAAAAAAAUUUAAAUCCAAAUUUGUAAUUUAAAUUUUUUUAAGAUGAUUACUUAUCAACGUUGAUAUUGAGAUAUAGUGAUGUAGAUGAUAAUAUGAUAUGUGACAGAACACACCGACGAAUGAAGGCCCAGAAUCUAUUGUGGGCAUGUUGUUAUGGUGUAAUGGGCUUAAAGCUUUGAUGCUCACUGUAUGUUCCUUCCAGGGCAUGGACCAAUGUUUUAUGGGCCUAGUCUAAUUCAGUUCCAUAUUGAGGACUAUGGGUUGAGCUCGGUCCAAGUCAAUAGUGAGCUCGAUCUGAGUUUAAGAACAAAUAUGGAACCAAGAGAGAUAGGGCUAACACUUUUUUUUAUGGCCAAUUUGGUGAGCCGAAUUGGCGAACCUCUGUUCGAUGGGAGGAGGAGACUUAAAGAGUCUUCUACAAUAUGAGCUCCCCCCUACCAACAGCUAUCACAAAUUCAGCGAGCCUAUUCGUCUUGCUAAACAGUUAAAUUUAGUAAUAGUUCCAUAGAUUUGAAUCGUGAUAGUCCUGAUUUACUAAUUUUGGCUCACAUGGCGAGCACAUAAGAACUAUGUUCCCCCUACCGAGUGGAACGAUAUAGCAUACUGCAUCGUAUAGCACAUAAAGUUUUUCAUUUGGUGUGACUUCAGAACAAAAAUGCCUCUCUUUUCUGAUUUUGUUGAGCGAUAUAGUCUUCCUGUCUUAAUCCCAAACCUGCCCUCAAUUUUCUUGCCGCCUUAACUGAUCAAUUAGUACAAAAUUUCUAGUCUCUAAUUUCAUACGAAGACAAAGAUAAGAUACACUUGAUGCCUUCUUAGGCCGUCUAAACACUUCUUUUUUUCUCUGUGUCAUUACUAUUAUUGUCAAUACUAAUUCAAACUCUAAAGCAGAGACUAAUCAUGCCUUAAUGACAGCAACAUGUGACUAAAAAAAUUAUAAUAACAAAUAAAUAAAUAGUGAUGCAAAUAUUUCGAACUUAAUCUAUCUCUUUCUUAGUCAAAGCCUCUUCCAAGAGCCACCGAAAUAAAUCAAUGAGCUAAAACCCCACUAGAUUAAAUAAUGGAGAACGUUACUUUCUCGAAGAUGGAAUGCCACAUAAUUGUAUAAUAAUUCUACUAAUAAAAUUUCUUUCGUAACGAUACCAUGUCAAAUUUCGUAUAAAAAUGCAUGGGCCGGUUGAUGGAUUACUUAAGUAAUAUUAACGGUGGCCACUUUUUUCUAAUCCGAUGUAUGUUGUAGUUUCUUGGAAAAUAUACUAACCAAAUAAAUAAGUCCAAGAGCUUAAAUUUUUUUAAGUUUGCAAAAUGUCUAAUGCUUUGAUCUUUUGUGCGAGUUUUACUUUCAUUAGACUCCUUUCUUGUAGCAGUUGUUUUCUAUCACCAUGCAGAGUGACCCAAAAGGUGCAAAAAGUUGCGUGAAGUGUCUAAUUAUUUAUACCGACUGUCUCUAGAGCAAGUGAUAAAGGAUUUGAUGGUUGGUACCCGAGACCCAAGUUCGAAUCCUAGUUGAUUCACAUUUUUAGCUAAGUUUAUUUCUAAAUGAAAUAAAUAAAGCGGGUAACAUGCUACCUAUCUCUCAAAAGAAAAAAAAAAAAAAAGUGUCUAAUUAUUUAUGGUCCAGGGACCGAAUCUUGCUAUGUCCUAAGCUACUGAUGUUUUCGUUUGGUUCCACAUUUGUUGUCUUUAUUCCAUAUUUGCUUGAUUUAGCUCUUCCACGCUUUAAGCACAGAUACUUUUCUCAAAAUAUGAAGGUCUCCUUUGGCUUUCAGUCAAAACUGUGUACGCACUCCAACCUAAAAACUUUCAGUUAAUUUAUCGUCAUUGUCUAAUGCAGUUGAUUAGCAUUCAAAAUCAUCAAUUAAGAGACCGAAAGUAUGAUUCUCCGCAUAUAUAUCUUUACUAAUUAAAGAAGCAAUUUAGCUCUAGAAAAAAAAAUAUAUGAUUAGCUCUACUUCAAUAAGAUUGAAUUCUACUGUUCUAUAUACAUUUCUAUUUGGGAAUAGCAUUGGGUUCAGAGUCUUCUGCGAAUUAUUUAGAUAUUAGAUUAGAUAAUUUUUCAUGGUAUUUUAAAUUGCAGGUAUUUAUCAACCGAUUACAUAGUAUUCAAUAUUAUAUAUGCCAACACAUGGCGUGUUUGGUUCGCUUUAUUUUCACUCUGGAAUCGGAAUGAGUGAAUCCGUUUGUGUGUGUUUGUUAUGCGGCAGUCCCAUUCCGAUUCCGAUUCCCGAGUGGAAUGGGAAUCCCUCAAUCUCCUCUUUUUUCGGCUUAGGAGGUUGGAUUGGAAGUUGAAUCCGGACGGAGGAUAUUUAUUCGGAUUAAAUUUAUUUUUUCAACUUUUUUAAUUAAAAUAUGAGUUAAAAUUUAAAAAUUAAAUAUAUAAUUUUCAAUUUUAAUUUGAACUUAAAUUAAAAAAUAAAAUUUAAUCAAGUAUUUCGAAUUUAACUUAUGAAUUUGAAUUUAAAUUAAAUUUUAAUUUAUAUAAAGUUUUAUUCAAAUUCUAUUUCAAACUUAAAUUAAAUUUAUGGAUUCAAAUUAAAAUUUAAAUUGUAAUUUUAAGUUUGAAUUUGAAUAAAUCAAAAUUUAGUUUCAUAUUUUGAAUUAUCCACUCAACUUCAAAGUUUAAUUUUUUAAAAAAAAUAGAUUUAAAAUUUUGACAUUAUUUCAAAAUUUUGAUGUAAAUUUUAAUAUUUAAUAUUUAAUUUAAAUUUAAAUUAAUAUAUUGUAAAGAUAAUGUUAGUAUAUUAAUUUGAUUACGUUUUUCAUAUCCACCUGAACCAAACACCGAUAAUGAGAAUGAUUUAUUUCGAUUCCGAUUCAGGUGAUAAAUCAAACAAAAUUAGGUAAUGAGUCAUUCCGAUUCCAAUUCCAGCUUAUUUUGAUUCUGUUUUCGAUUCCAACUCCGACUUCGAACCAAACAUCUGUCUAAAAAAAUAACAUUCUAUAAUAUACGUAACAUAUCUCCUUUCUAUUUUUUGUGGUCUUCCGGGAUAUAUUUUUGCCUUUUAAAAAAAAUUACUUUAUAUACUCUACAUUAUUAUUAAUAUAAGUUAUUGAUCUAUCGGUAUAUGUGGCGUUAUAAUUUGUAUGUAUUUGAUUGAUUAGUACUUACCAUCUAAAAAUACGAGUCCGGCAGGGUUACUAUCGGUAGCACCAAGAAUUUGGUGCUAUCGAAUUUUCCAUCGUUAGAUUUAAUUCUUUGAUUAUUUUUAUCCGUUAGAUUAUACUAUUCAACCAACCACUUAUUCAACCCUAAGAGGCCCAUAUCAUCAUAACUAUACAUUUCUCAAUCCAAGGGCUAAAAAAUUAAUAGCACCAAUAGCUUGAUACUAUUGAUAGUUUAUAUAUAUUUAUCACUAUAUAUUAGUAUUAGUAAACCAUUAAGGUGGAACCUUUUGAAACACUCAAACCAAUUACAAUAUAAACAAAAAACCCAAAGCAAUGCACUUGUGCUUAUGCUUAAUAAACACAACUUCCCAAAAGGUGACACUUGUCUUUGGGACAUCAACCUUCUUAGUUGUAAAUAAUAUAAACAAAUGUAGGGAUUUUCUCCAAUUAAAUUUCCGUGAUGUUUGGACUAAUGAUGAAGUGGUGCAGGUGAGCAAACUGCGUGGCUUUGCAUCCAUUGUCCUUAUAUUCUUCUUUAUUUAACUUGAUGUGAUGGAAAGAAUCAUCCCGAGGCACUCGAAGCCUAACAAGUCAAAAUAAAAAUAUAUUAAAAAACAAAAAGAUAAAGAAGCAUCUCAUACCCUCCUUUUCUUACCUUUUUUUGAAAUUAAAAAUGCUAUUGUAUAUCUACAUAUACAUCUAUAUAUCUCUAUAUAUUUAUAUAUAGAUUAUACUUUGCUAAUUUUAGAAUGUAUAAAAGUGUAAAUAGAUUUCAGUUAAAAAAAAAAGAAAUGAAAAAAAGUACAGGCCUUAUGAUGAAUAGGACGUAAAUUUUAUAUCUAAUCUAAAAAGAUAUGGAUAGCAUUGUUUUUUUGAAAUACACAAGAUAGCUUUGCUGAUGAGUUAAAUAUUAAUAAUCCUUAUAGAUUUUAAAUUUUAAACAUCAUUUUAUAAUGCAUAUUUAGUGGAUUUUGAUACCAUUCCAACAGAAAGUACUUUUUUUUAACCAUUUCGGAUGUAGUUAAAAGUAACCGUAUGGUAAAAAAAAAGUUGCAGAGCGUUUAGCAUCUAAGCUCGGAAAAUAUUUUAACAUAAACCUUUUUCUAAAGCUACGAAGAAGGCAUUAAGAGAUUUUAAUGAAAAAGUUAAUGAUCUCAUUUUUUUUUUUCUUGUAUGUUUAUAUAAAAAAUAGGGGCAUAAUUAACCCAAUUAGCUGGGCAUGCACUCGUUAAUUCUAGAAGCAAAAAAAGGAAAAGCACAAAAGUUCUCGACGAUACAAGUUGUUCUCAUGAUUGAGAAUCAAAUCAAAAGUCACGAGUACAGUGCCAAUAAUGGCUCGCUCACAUUCAACUUAGUCUUGUGUUAUCAUCAUCAGAAAAAGAACGCUGCGACGUACGGGGCACCAUACAUCAAGAUUCCGCAAACACCGCCACAACGCCCACAAUUUUAUGUGAUUCCACGAUAAACUAAUUAGCUGAUACAUUCGUAAUCGCCGUACAAAUGUAAACAUUAUUUACGUGUUGCUCUUGUGCUUUGGACAAUUUAAAAUUUGAAAACAAACACUACAUUGAUGACUAAUUAAGUGUCAUAUAAAAGUAAAACUAGUUGUUAAUUAAUGAACUUUUAGAAUAUAUUUUUGAAGUACAUGGACCACCAAACAGGCUAGCCAUAAUGUGCAUCAGCGCUUAAAAAAGCUUUACGUCCACAUCAAGAACCGCCUCUCCACCGCUCCUCCGCUCUUUACUCUCUUCAACAACUGCAGUUUAAUUAAUUCGACCCUUUCCUACUGUCUUUAAAACGGCACCCUCCAUCCCAUUCCCUUUCUCUUGCAAACCAACCCCUCUACACUCUCAUCACCGAUAUGAAGAGUAGAAGAAGCUACCAUCGCCACCACCUCAGCCCCAUUGGUAGCCCCCCCUCCNCUUAAAAAAGCUUUACGUCCACAUCAAGAACCGCCUCUCCACCGCUCCUCCGCUCUUUACUCUCUUCAACAACUGCAGUUUAAUUAAUUCGACCCUUGCCGAUCGCGAACGUGAGCCGCAUCAUGAAGCGGUCGCUCCCCGCGAACGCGAAGAUAUCGAAGGAAGCCAAAGAGACGGUGCAGGAGUGCGUGUCGGAGUUCAUCAGCUUCGUGACCGGGGAGGCCUCCGACAAGUGCCAGCGCGAGAAGCGGAAGACGAUCAACGGCGACGACCUCCUCUGGGCCAUGACCACGCUCGGCUUCGAGAACUACGUCGGCCCGCUCAAGACUUACCUCAACAGGUACCGCGAGACGGAGGGCGAGAAGAACGGCGCCGUCGCGUGGCAGGGCGACCAGUCCCCCGCCGAAGACGGCGGCUGCGGCAGCGGAAGCAGCGGAGGAGGCCGUAUGAACCCUGACUUCAACCACGCCGUCGGUAGCAGUGAUCACGUCGCUAUGAUGGUCUCGGGGUUCAACGGCGCCGGGUUUUACGCGACCGGGCCGGCCCCGGUGGCGGGUUCGAACCCCUCCGUCGGGGUUUAUCAUGAGAUGGGUAGGGUGCAAAAUGGAGGGGGAGAUCAAGGGAGCAAUACUAUCCGUGGAAUUCAAUGGCAGUAGCUAUAAAUUAAAGCUGGGUAUUAGUAUUACGCCAUGCACGUACGCAGACAUUUUAAUUUGUUACUUUGUUGUUUUGUUUUGUAUUGUAUUGUUUCCUUCACUAUUAAUUUAGUAAGAGUUUUGAGACUAUAUAUAUGUGUUGUUAUCACUAACGGUUGUGAUCCUGCGAGUGAGAGAAAUUAAGUGCUGGAGAGUGCAUGGAUGGCACCUUUGUUAGAAGAAAAUUAGUUGUUUUUUUUUUCAGAGAGAAAAUGAGUACGCUAUUCGCUUCAUUCAUUUUAUAAAUAAAAUCAGUUGAAAAUGUGAAGCAACUAAUUUUGAACUUGAAAACUCGAAUGCUAACUAUGUAGCCUUUUGCCACUUGCGCUAGGCAAGCUGGGUGACGAAAAUUAAUUAGUUUUUCAAUCAAUUUCUAUGUUUUUUGUACUACAUUAGUGCAUGUCAGUAGAAAUGAUAUUUAUAUUGUUAGUUGCGGUAGAGGGGUGCUUGAUUAUCAGAAUCUAUGAUGUGGUUAAAUGUGUAACUUUUUCAUCUGAGCUAGUAUACCGUAUAAGCAAAUUAAGAGCAUGUGGUGUGGUGGACACAACAUUAAUUACAUAGCAAUUAAUCCAUGCAUUAACCCUAAUUAACAUCAACUUUUUUGAAAGAUCCUGUUUGUUGCUUGCAUUUCAAAUGCUAUGGCAAAGACAAAAGAAUUUCCCAGGACACAGAGGAGCUACAGUUGGAUACCAAAGGGGAGUCUGAAAAGGAUAAAGUGUCCCAAUACAUAUGAGGGCAUCUUUGAAAAAGAAGCUACAGUUGUUACACAUUAUUACAAGCCUGAGAUGCAAAGCAACAAGAAUAUAAAUUAGGAAAACCUUCCAAAAGACUAUAAUUUCCUAAGCCUUUGCACCCCAAAAAAAUAAAAAUAAAAACCAAAACAAAACAAAAGGAAUUGUGCUUUUUAAAGAAAAAUCUUUUAAAGUUGUUGUGCUAGAAGGAAUUGGGGUAAAACAAGUUGAGAAGUACAUCUUUAUUAUUCUAUAUUAAGCUAUAAACAUUAAAUUUUAAUAUAUGGAGAUUUGACCUAAAGUAUUUUUUUCGCAGCCUCUGUCUUGAGGCCUGGCCCAGCCCAAUAUGUGGGGCCGGGAGCAACCCUGUUCACAAAAAUCAGACCGGGUGGGUCCGCCCACUUAGGCAGUGUGGUUUUACAAACUCCACAUUGCACGUCUAAUGUGUGGUGCCAUCACUUAUAUAUAUAUAUAUAUAUAUAUAUAUAUAUAUAUAUAUAUAUAUAUAUAUAUUCUUGUUACAUCGUAGAUUGGCAGGAUCUCGUUCACCGUUUCCUGAACCACCAACCAUGGAUACAGGGUUCAAACUUAGGAUCAACUAGGCUGUGAGAGGUCUCGACUUCUGUUCGGAGGUGUUAUUUUGUUUGCUCUAGAGUGUUUAUCGCACGAUGGAUAGGGAGAGAGUUUUUUUUUUUUUUUUUUUUUGUUACGUCGUAGAUAUUGAUAAAAACCUGACAUUAUUAGAAUGUUGUACAGUUAGGUUCUCAAUUUUAAAAUAGUAAACGUGGCAAACAAAGAUCGAGUCCAACCUAUUCUAAACUACCAACCAUGGAUUUCAAAGUUUAGAAACAAAGUAUAAAAUCAAUUUAAGUAAAGAUAUUUAUUAUUUGUUAUGAUUAUCAUAGGACGAAAAGAGAGAGAGUAUUUUUUUCGUACAGAAAUUAAAGUGAGAUAAAAAAAUUAUAUUUUAAAAAUUUUUUAUUAAAUUUGAGUUUUUUUUUCCUCAAAAGUUGUGAACCUACUAUCAAUGUUAAGGAUGUUCGAUAAAAACGUCACUCCAAAUUGUAAAGAGACGUUUUUUUUUUUUUUUUUUUUGUACGGAUACGAGUAAAAUAUGUACAUAUAUGCUCAACGUNCUAUAUAUAUAUAUAUAUAUAUAUAUAUAUAUAUAUAUAUAUAUAUAUAUAGAGAGAGAGGAUGGAUUCCACCAAAAGCUGGACUAACUAUCCCCCGUUGACGGGUCAGAAAUUGAAAGCAUAAAAUAAAAUAUCAUAAUGGGGCGGACGCACACAAACUAAUUAAAGGUUCACGUAAAUUAUCAACAAUCAAACAGCUCGAAAUGGAAUUCAAAACUAAAGAACAUAAAUGCCACAUCCGUAAUACAAUUUUAUUGAUAUCGCAUAACAAAUGCGCCCGCAAUAGUUAAUUAAUCAACAAGGGCCUGGUCUGCCUCGUUGAAAAAGUGAGCCUUAAACGCGUCGAUGUGGUCCGGGCUCAGCGACACCGACACUUGGACCCCACCGUCCCGGGCCCGGCCCAGCACGUUCUCCCCGUCGUGGUGCAUGGACACCAGCUCGACCCGGCUCGGCUUACCCCACCCGAAAUCGGUCUCGUACACCCUGAACCGGGGCGACGCCGACACGCUGGCGGCUCGGUCCAGCGGGAGCGCCAAGACCCGGUCCAUCCAGCUCUCGACCCCGGCCAUCGGGUCGUCCAGCGCCUCGCGGAUCGCCGCUUGGAUCGCCGAGGAGGCGCGGGGGAGCGCGUCGGGGCCGGCGAACUCGCCAGCUGGCGCCGUGGCGUACGAGCCCUUGAUCAAGUUACCGAAAUACCCCUCGUCGACCGGAGGAUCGAGCCGGGUCCGGAUGUCCACGAUGAAGCAAAGGUGGGUGUCGCCGCCGGCCCGGUCCAGCGACUUGGACCGGACGAAGGCGGUCCACGCCAGGGCCGUGACCGCCACGAACGUCGAGGGGGGCUGCUGCGGCGCCAUGUGGCUUUGCGCGAUUCGCUGCUUCAGCCACUCGAUGCGCUCCGGGCUCACCACGAAGGUUCGCCGCGUUAGCUUCAGGCGGCCUUCAAAAGAGUACCCAACAAAGCGCAACUGUUUAUUAAUUUUUUUGCAGCGAAUGAAAUAGGGAAUGUUAGAAUCCCUUUAAUCACUGAUUACAAAUGUGAAACGAAAUGCCACAACGAUUGUUAAAGAAAAAUCGAAUAAAUCAUUUAAUCUCACAUUAAUUAUUUUAAAACAUAUGUUAAAUUAUUAAGACACAUCAAAUAUGUUCAUUUAAGCUAUCAAAAAAAUUAAUAAGUAUUCUCAAUUUAAGCUAUCAAAAAAAUUAAUAAGUAUUCUCUAGCCACUUAAAAUUACAAAAAUAUUAUUUUAAUAUAAUAUAUUUUUUAGUAACCACCUAAAUACAGAAAAGACUUUGACAGAGUCACGUGACUGAAUAGAAAAGGUACAAAACUUUGCAGGUUCUAUUGUCUUCUUUUCUUGCAAAGGAUAAGGAUUAGACAAGAGUAAAUGCGUCCUAAUUGUGAGUUCUUGUUUGAUACCAUAUUUAUUUGUUAUUUAAUUAGAUUAAAUUUUAUAUAUUAAAAAGUUAAUAAGCUGCACGGCGCCCGAUUCAAAAAGAUGUUUUGUCCAAACAUGGAGGAAUUCUACACUGUCACGCUUGCACCACGUCAUUAAUAACAAGUUAAUCAUAUUUAUUCUUUUCAAACAAAAAUAAAAUAAAAAUAUUUUUUUUAUAAUUACGAUAGGACAUUAUUGAUUUUCUACGCCACGUUAUCAAUAUACUCGUUGCAUUCUAAAAUUUUUCCCAAACAUAAGGAAAGGAGGCAAAAAAAAAAAGAAAAAGAGGAGUAAUUAUGAAUGACAAGAAGCAGUGCAAAUAACAAGAAAAGAUGGAAUGCGCACAAGCAAAUGCCUCUUAAUUCAAGAGAGUGAGUUAUGAUUUAGACCGUUUUCAGCAAUGGUUUAUAUAUAUAUAUAUAUAUAUAUAUAUAUAUAUAUAUAUAUAUAUAUAUAUUUGAAAAGUUUUUUUGUAUUUGAUAAUUAAUAAGUACUCGCGAUCUAUCUGAAACUAUAAUUUGUGUUUGUGUUUGUGCUUGCUUGCAUGAGAAUAGUUGAGUAAAUAUUGUUGCAAAUUAAUGGUAAUAUAUAUAUAUAUAUGUCUGGUGUCUUACCAAUAACCCGUGCAUUUGAAUAGUACAAAAUUAUUGAAAACUGCUGCAAAAUAAAAAAAUUAUGAAAAUAUGGCAUGAUUUAACUUAGACAAAAAUUAUAUAGACAUCAUUUCCAAAUUAGACUAGAUAAAUUGAAAAAAAAAAUCGAUGCGGAAGGGCACCAAGCCCUUUAUUUCUCUAAGUAUACUUUUUUGUUCUCUCUCUAAAAAAUCAGAAUGCAUAUUUUCUUUUUUUUUUUGUGUUUCUAUGCGUGCGAUGGCAUCCACCGAUCCGUAUCAUCUUCGAACCUAGUUUGGAAAUGGUAUUCAUUCAAUUUGUGUCCAUUUAACUGUAUACUACGAGUCUACAACAUGUCUGACUCUGACGUACAAAAACUAACUCUUUUAAGGUAAAUCCGCGUCGGCCCAAACGAAGCAGUAAGCAGGAAGAUAAAAUUGGAAGCGCAAAAAGCUGUCAAUAUCGAACGCGAACUGAGCAUGCGCGCAAACGUACCUUGGGAAGAUCCGGCGUGAACCGCCGCGCCAACGCCCGCGCGACCUCGUCGGCCCUCGGAUGCCCGAUCGCCGCCCGGUCGAACGUCGGCCUGCACGGACAGCACCGGCGCCGGCAUCUCAUCCGCGCCGAGCUCCGGCACCAGUCCCCGGAACGCCGCGACGUCGUGCUCCUCGUCGCCGGCGAGGCUGCGGAGGUCGCCGCCGUCGGCCUCGGCCUCGACGAAGGCGACGGCGGCGGCGGAGCAGUCGACGGCGACGUCGCCGGUGGCGGGGAGGUAGGCGAGCUUGCCGGCGAGGGGGAGGAAGCGGCGGAGGGUGGCGGAGAGGGAGGAUUUGAGGGAUUGGAGGAGGGCGGGGAAGGGGGGCAGGUCGGGGGAGGGCUCGUAGAUGAGGAUGCGCUGGAUCGGGGGGUAGGCGAGCCAGUGGGUGUCGAAGAGCGAGAGCUUGAUUAAGUUCCCGGGAGGGUUUGGGACGGGGGCGCCAUCCGGGAGUGGGACGUGGCUCACGUUAAGAAUCCGCACCUCCCACAUCAGAAACUGCAAAUUAUGAUGAUGGAAAAAUAACGGAGAUCAAGAAGAGGACGAAGCAGCAGCAGCAGCAGCAGCCGCAGCAGAGAGCCGGAUUAUGAACUGGUGGCUGAAUCGAACGCAGAAGAAGACUAUCAAUACACGCAACUAUAUAUAUAAAUUAUUAUAUACACAUUGCUUUCAAUUCUUUUAAAAAAUAAGACUAAAUUACAUAAAAUCUCCUAUCAAAACAUAAUUUUUUUUUUUUUGUCAUUAAAAAUCUACACUUUAUUUUCAUUAUAAAAUAAAAAAUAGUAAUAAAAAAUUAUGGUGUAAAUUAUGAUGAUAAAAUAAUCAUUUUAUCCCUCAUCAUUUUUUAUAACAAAAGAGAAGUCUAUGAACAUUUUUAGCAUAAAAAAUAUAUAAUAAUAUUUUAUAAGCGGAAUCUAACAAAUCACUAACGGUAGGAGAUGAAAUGAAUAUUUUUUAUUUUGUAAUGAAGGACAAAAUAUAGAUUUUUAAAUAACAAAACAAAUAAAAAAUUAAAUUUUAACAAAAAAAAAAAUCUGUAAUUUAGCCAAGGAAUAAUACCCCACACACACACACACCAAAAGGGUUAUACAAUGUACACUUUAUUGAUCUACUAUCCAUGUGAUUAAUAAAAGUCAUUGUACGUCAUACAUGCCAUUAGUAAGUGAACAAAUAGUUAUUUUUUUAAAAAAAAAUCAACUAUACAAACGGGGAAUAAAUAAAAUUACAAAUUUACCGAUCGUCCGUAGAGCAAGUGAUAAAGAGGUUGAUAGUUGGUACCCGAGAUCCAAGUUCGAUUCAUAGUUGAUUCAUAUUUUCAACUAAAUUUAUUUCUAAAUAAAAAAAAAUAAAGCUUCUAAAGAAAAAUAAAUUUAUUCCUCAUAAAUUUUAACCAUUAAAUAUAAAUUGGAGUUCUCUUUGUUACAGUUUAUUCUUUUUCUCCUUGGGAAUUGGGAUAGUGUAGCGGUGACGAUCGCCUUUUUUGGAAAACCUUCUUAAUUGCUUUGACGAGCUCACCAUUGUCGAUCCGGCCCAGCUUAGCUGCUCGUCUUCGCGCUUAGUAAAUAUUUUAUCUAAUAAUAAAUAUUUUAUUCUUACCUAAUCUAUAUAUUUUAUAUUAAAUUUAAAUUUUUUUUAUUUAAUAUAUAAUUUAGAUAUAAAGAUAUUAUUUUUCAAGAGUAUUUAAUGAGCGAGAGUACAACAUCCCCAUGUAUUCGCUGUCACGUGUGGAUGAGGCAAAUGGUUGGCUCUGUUUGAUUGGUUAACCGCGAGGGGGCGCUCUUCCAAUAUUAUGUACCCUAAGCCAUUUUUUAAGCUAAAAAAAUAAAUAAAAAAAUUAAUUGAACAUAAGAUAGUAGAAUUAAUAAUAUCAACAAUACCUACUUUGGCUUCUGUAUUUACUUUAUUUUAAAAAUAUUAAUUAUAUAAUAAUAAUUUUAUGAGGCGGCAUUUAUUUUAUUUUAAAAAUGUUAAUUAUAUAAUAAUUUAAUGUGGCGGCAAAGACAUUUUUUCUUAUUGUCAUAUUUGAUUAGUUAACGAUACAUUAUGAUUAAAUGACAGAUGUUGAGUUAUUAUAACAAUACAUUAUGAUUAAAUGACAAAUGUCGAGUUAACAAAACAUUAUGAUUUUUAAAGAUACGUAAUCCAAAUUUUCCACAGCAUUGGAGUGUUGGCGAAAGAGUGGGCUGACUUCAGUCGAGUUUGGUGACGUUUUACUUGUUGGGCUGUAUAGUGUUUUUGUCACCUGUGGUCGAUUGGUCGUCAGUCUUUCUUUUUUUCUUUUUUUCCUUUUGCUACUCUUUUUUUUUUUUUUCUGGUCUUCGCGUCUUUUUGAGGCCUUAGCUGCCUCGCCCUUUAUAGCUAAUUUUAUUUACUGAAUGAAUGAAGCGGAUGGCAUGCUACCUUCCUCUCUAAAAAAAAAAAAAAACAAAACAUUAUGAUUAAAUGACAGAAUUGUACGCAAUCAAUCACUAAUAAGAACAUAAUUAAACGCCUCAUCUGUAAUACAAUUUUAAUUAUGAUAUCGCAUAACAAAUAUGACCUCCUCAAUAGUUAAUUAAUCAGCAAGGGUCUGGUCGGCCUCGUUGAGAAAGUGAGCCUUAAACGCAUCGAUGUGGUUCGGGCUCAGCGACACCGACACUUGGACCCCACCGUCCCGGCCCCCGACCAGCACGAUCUCCCCGUCGUGGUUCAUGGACACCAGCCGAAGUCGGUCUCGUACACCCUGAACCGGGGCGACGCCGCCACGUUGGCGAGCCGGUCCAGCGGGAGCACCAUAAACCGGUCCAUCCAGUUAUGAGACAUCGGGUCAUCCAGCGCCUCGCGGAUCGCCGCUUGGAUCGCCGAGGAGGCGCGGGGGAGCGCGUCGGGGCCGGAGAACUCGCCAGCUGGCGCCGUCGCGAAGCAGCCCUUGAUCAAAUUACCGAAGUACCCCUCGUCGACCGGGGGGUCGAGCCGGGUCCGGACGUCCGCGAGGAAGCAGAGGUGGGCGUCGCCGCCGGCCCGGUCCAGCGACUUGGACCGGACGAAGGCGGUCCACGCCAGGGCCGACACCGCCACGAACGUCGAGGGGGGCUGCUGCGGCGCCACGUGGCCCUGCGUGAUUCGCUGCUUCAGCCACUCGAUGCGCUCCGGGGUGACCACGAAGGUUCGCCGCGAUAGCAUGAAGCGGCCUUCAAAAGCGAGAUUCGCAGAGCGCAACUGUUUUUUUUUUUUUUUUUGGUGCAUUGAAAGAAAUAAAAAAUGUUAGACUCCAUGUAAUCACUAAUUACGAAUGUGUAACGUAAUGCCAUCACGAUUCUUAAAAAAAAAUCAUUUAAUCUCGUAUUCGGUUAAUUCUUUUAAAAAAUGUGUUAAAUUAUUAAGACAGAUCAAAUAACUCAAAUGCAAUAAAAAAAAUACUAAUAAACAUAUCAGUGAGACAUUUAAACAGUCAAAUAUUACUUUUGAUAUCAUAAAUUAUAUUAGCUUAAAUUUUGAAUUCAAAAUAUUGUUGACUAAAUCAUAUCAAAUAAAUUAAAAAGUAGAUAGUAAUAUUAAAAUUUUAUAAGAUGAAAUAGUAAAUUUAAAAUAUUUUAUAAUACAUAUAAGUUUUAUAUGUUUUUAUUAAGAAUUUAUUGUGUAUUCACGGUCUUCCCGAGAAGGAACUUUAUUGUGUAGCAGCUACGUAUCGAUAUCAUUUAUAACUAGUCAAUCGUAUUUUUAUUUUUGAGAAGGAAAAUACAGUAAAAAUAUUUUUCUAAAAAUUAUAAUAAAAUAAAAUGGAUGAAAUUUAAAAAUAUUAAUUGAUUGGUUGGAAACGCCACGUGAGUAAUAUGGCUAAUUGACUGCUGUAUUUCUAGAUCAUGAGUAGCUAUUAGAACUUUUUUUAGUUAUCUUACAUUUUAAAAUUCGUACCACAAUUCUGAAAUAACUGUUACUUGAUAAAAGUUUAAGCUAUCAAAAUAGAUUUUAUUUUAAUAUAAUAUAUUUAUAAUAACCAUCUUAAUAUAGAAAAAUUUUUGGCAUGGUUUAUGUGGCUGAACCAAAAGAGCACAACUACCUGAUCUUUGCAGAUUUUAUUGUCUAACUAUAUAAAAAAUUAUAUCUAAAAAUUAUAUACUUAAAAUAGCCUAAUCCCAAUCUUUCUGCCAAAUUAGUGGAUAAUGAGAGGGAAGGUAGGGAUGAAAAGGAAAAAAAAAAAAGAAAAAAAAGUGAGGCCCAACUCCACCGCACCUACCCCGAAAUUAACAUGGAGAUGUCAAAUAGUAUUGGGACUCGAGGUUCAUAUAUGGUUAUAGAUUAUAAAUGUUGUUGCAAUGGAUAAGGACUCGAAAAGAGUAUGUGCAUCCCAACAUUAAGGCAUGUUUGUUUCAAUGAAAGUGGGGCGAAAGUGGAGAGGAGGGAAGUCGGUUUCGCCCUAAACGAUCAUUUCUGUUAUUGGCUUGCCGUAAAAAAGUUACGGUCGAAACUCGAGUUAAUCUCAAACGGCGUAAUUUGCUUCAUCCCAUCGGGGGCGAAGUCGAUUACGGUAAAAAUAGAUAAAAAAUUAAUAAAAUAAUAUAAUAGAUAAAGCUAUUAUAUUUAAAUAUAUUUAAUUAUGUUACUAAUUAUUUUCUUAUUCAGUUAAUAUAUCUAAAAUAUGAUAAAAAUCGAUUAGUUAAGUUUUAAUAUUUUUUUUAUUUAGUUUGUACAUUUAAAAUAUGAUAAAAAUUGAUUAAUUAAGUAUUAAUAUUUUUUUGCUUUAUAAUUUUAUUAUUGUAUUACUAUAAUUUAUGUAUAAAAAAAUAAUUUAGUUGUUUUAAAUUAAAUUUUAAUUAUAUAAAAAUAUAAUUAUAUUAUUUUUAUUUAUUAAAAUAUUUAUUAUUUAUAUAUAAAUUAUAGUUUUAUAUUAUACACUUCCUACCAAACAAACAGCAGAACUGAUACAACUUCACUUCCAUAACUACGAAACAAAAAGCAGAAAAGAAAUAGUUUUUACCGAACUCCAGUUCAACCCAAAGUCCACUUCAACCCAUAGUCUACAUGUUUGUUUGGGUGGAAGUAGGGUGGAAGUGAAGAGGAGGGAUGUCAUUUUUGCCCUAAACGACUACUUCCGUUAUUUGGUUUGCCGUAAAAAAGUUACGGUUGAAACUCAAGUUAAUCUCAAACGGCGUAAUUGACUUCGUUCCAUCGUGGGCCGAAGUUAAUUAUGGUGAAGAGAGGUGAAAAAAAAAUAAAACAAUAUAAUAGAUAAAGCUAGUUAUAUUUAAAUAUAUUUAAUUAUGUUACUAAUUAUUUUUUUAUUCAGUUAAUAUAUCUAAAAUAUGAUAAAAAUUGAUUAGUUAAGUUUUAAUAUUUUUUUAUUUAGUUUGUACAUUUAAAAUAUGAUAAAAAUUGAUUAAUUAAGUAUUAAUAUUUUUUUACUUUAUAAUUUUAUUAUUGUAUUACUAUAAUUUAUGUAUAAAAAAAUAAUUUAGUUGUUUUAAAUUAAAUUUUAAUUAUAUAAAAAUAUAAUUAUAUUAUUUUUAUUUAUUAAAAUAUUUAUUAUUUAUAUAUAAAUUAUAGUUUUAUAUUAUACAUUUUCUACCAAACGAACAACAAAACUGAUGAAACUUCACUUCUAUAACUACGAAACAAACAGCGGAGAAGAAGUAGUUUUCACCGAGCUCCAGUUCAACCCAAAGUCCAGUUUCGGUGAAACAAACAUGCCCUAAGAGCUCCAAUGAUAUCAUAUUUAUUUAUUUCUAAGGCUAAAUUACAGAAAACCUUUCUAUCAAAACUCAAUUUUUUUAUUUUUUUCCUUGUCAUUUAAAAAACAUACACUUUGCCUCCUUGUAAAAUGAUAAAUGUUCACAGGGGGUACGGUGUGAACUGUGAUGAUAAAAUAAUCAUUUUGUCCCUCACCAUUUUGCCUCUCACCAUGUUCACAGAAGAGAAGGUUGAGGACAUUUUUGCCAUAAAAAAUAUAUAAUAAUAUAUUAUAAACGGAACCCUAACGGAUUACUAACGAUAGGGGGCGAAGUGAAUAUUUUUUAUUUUACAUGGAGGCAAAGUGUAAAUUUUUAAUGACAAAGAGGAAAAGUAAAAAAUCAGAUUUUGACAGAGAUGUUUUAUAUAAUUUAGCCUAUUUAUAAUUAGACAAAAUUUUAUAUAUUAAAAGAUAUAAAAGUAGACAGUAAAUUAUUUGUGAUUUUUUCAUACAAAAUAUUUACUUAGUAACAAAAACUAGAAAGAGUAAAUUUUUUUUUGGCAUCUAAUUUUUUAAAUAAGCUGUCAUCUACGACUUAACCGGAUACAUCAUAAGCUAGCUAAUCACGAUAACAAAAAAGAUUUUUCUUCGGCAUAUUAAAUUAUAUAGAAUUAAUAUUUAAAAGAAUAAAAAAUAAUAAUGAUAUUAAACGAGAUCUAAACUUUUUAAUUAAUAAGCUACUUGGCACUCGAUUCGAAACAAUUAAUUUUGUCCAAACAUGAGGAGGUCAAAGAAAAAAGAAGAAGAGUAGCUGUGAAUGACAAGAGGUAGUCCCAAUAACACGAAAAGAUGAAUGUGCAACGGACUUUGGAGUACAGACAAAAAUUUUAUGGGCAUCGUGAUCAAAUAAUUUGUUUGGGCACGGUGCCCGGAUGGGCGCCGCGUGUGCAGCGAUGCCCAUCCGCACCCUCCCUUCCCCCUCUCUUUCUCUUUGUUCCUAAAAAUCGAGCCCACCAUUUUUUAUUUUUUAUUAUUUUAGGGUGCGGUGGGCGCAGCUACACACGCAACGCCCAUCGGAGCACCGUGCCUAUAAAAUUAUUGUCCUUGGAGUACUAGCUUUGGAUGUAGAUCAAAAGCAUACGCCUUACUUAGCUCAAGAGAGUGAGUUAUAACUUCUAGGCCGUUUUUAAGAUCUAUUUGGAGCUGUAAUUUAUGUUUGCGUCUGCUUUCAAGAGAACAGUUUGACUAGAUGCGGUUGCGCAUGGCUAGACGUGGUGUCUUCCCAGCAAUGAUAAAGAAAAUUUGUACUUUAAUAACUUGUCAGUUUGAAUAUUAAUAAAUCAUUGAGAAUGGCUUCGCAGAUAAGGCUAAUUAUUGUGGCGUGAUUUGACUUUGACUGUAUGUACCACCGAAUAUCUGACGUACAAAAACCAACUGAUUUAAGACAAAUAGGGGCGGCUCCGAAGGAAGCAGUAAGCAUCAAGAUAAAAAAGUUGGAGAUGUGACAGCUGUCAAUACGGAUAAGUAUUGCAAGUUGAGCAUGCACGUAUACGCACCUUAGGAAGAUCCGGCGUGAACCGCCGCGCGAACUCCCGCGCGGCCUCGUCGGCCCUCGGGUGCCUGAUCAGCGCCCGGUCGAACGUCGGCGGCGCCCCGAGCUCGGUGUCGGUGGCCCCGCGGCACUCGGCCGCCCACGCCGCCAGGAACUGCCACACCGCCCGGCCGUCCGCGACAGCGUGGAGGGCCGAGACGCCGACGACCGCCCCGCCGCCGGCGAGCCUCGUGGCCUGCACGGACAGCACCGGCGCCGGCAUCUCAUCCGCGCCGAGCUCCGGCACCAGUCCCCGGAACGCCGCGACGUCGUGCUCCUCGUCGCCGGCGAGGCGGCGGAGGUCGCCGCCGUCGGCCUCGGCCUCGACGAAGGCGACGCCGGGGCCGACGGCAGCGGCGGAGCAGUCAACGGCGACGUCGCCGGUGGCGGGGAGGUAGGCGAGCUUGCCGGCGAGGGGGAAGAAGCGGCGGAGGGUGGCGGAGAGGGAGGAUUUGAGGGAUUGGAGGAGGGCCGGGAAGGGGGGCAGGUCGGGGGAGGGCUCGUNAAAAAAAAAAAAAAAAAACUUGGAGAUGACACUAUCAAUAUUAAAAUGUCCCCUAGCCAUUAAGUAAAAGGAAAAAUAAAUUAAAAAAAUGAACAUAAGAUAGUAAAAUAAUAAUAUUAGCACCUCGUUUUAAAGUAUUAAUUUAAUAUAAUGUUAUAUACUGUAAUUCCAUUCUGAUUCUAUUUUCGCUCCCAAAUGGAAAUCCAAUGAUCCAGGUUAAAAACAAUCCUUUCACGCGCUACGGAUUAAAGCUUAAUUCUAGGAUCACACAGCUUAAAGAAAAAAAAAAAAAAAAAACUUUGCGGGAUAAAAUAUUAUUGGUACACUGAAUUUCGUCACUGCUCUCCACGGCCCCUCUCAAAUAUCUCUCUCUUCUAUACUAUUUUCGCUAUCACUUCCCUACUAUUUUUAUUCUAAAAAGUAGGUCAUUUUCUUCUUUCUUAUCAUGCAAUGCACACUUUACGCAGGAGAGAGAAAAAGAAUGUUCAAGUACAGGAAAAGUCAUUUUCCCUAUAAAUUUUGAUAAAUUAGCAGAAUUUAUGAGACAUAUAAUUGUACUCCUAGAUAUAAAUAAUAUCUUUUAUCUUUUCUAGAAGGAACAAUCUACGCCGUCUAUGAGGUGGAGGGGGUUACAAAUGUGAAGGACGAUAUUAUGAAUGAUGAAAUUAGACUUAGCGAAAUGAGCAUGCAUAUGAAAGAAGAGAUUAGGGAUUAAAGUAACUUUAAAAAGCAUCAGCGCGCUUUACUCUAAAAGAUAGGAAUCUAAUUGCGGAAACCAAAUAAAAAAAAAAGUUGCUAUCAAAACAGAAUCUUGGACAAAAAUUAUGACUCGUUGAAGUUUUCUGUAUGCAGCCUGUGAACUUAUACUAAAAUACUAUAUAUAUGAAAAUUUAAUUUUGCGGAGCAACCAAACUAACCAAAGUUCUCAAUCACAUUAACCCGUUACGUUUUGGUUUGAAUUGUUAAACAUACAAGCAAAUGUGUGACGAUUCAGCUCUGACCUUCCAACAUACAUACACUCUUUAUUUACGGAAUUACACAAAAGAAUAAUCUUUUAGCUAGCUUUUCAAAAUUUACUGGAGCAAAAUGAAUAUCAAAAUGUGAAGUUCACGAGAGUAUUCGACAUUUGAUCAGCUUAAAUUGGCAUAAAUGAAUGUUUGUUGUGAUUGGCAGUUAAUCAAUACAUAAUCUAGCUAGAAAUCGUGUAGAGCUUUAGUGCUUUUUCAAACAUUAUAAACUUUUGUGCACUUGGCUGUGAUAAGUUUGUCUCAAAACUUUUGGACCUUCUACGGCUGUUAUCCAGACAAGAAAAAAGAAUUUCCGAUCUCUCAGCCAGGAAGUCAGCUGAGUUAGCAUGUUUCGGAAAGAAAAGAAAUCUUCGCAGAAAGUUUGGACUGCUGCUUUUCCAACGGCGGUCUCAGUUAAUUACGAGACAUUUCUUACGAUCUGAGUUUAAAAUUGGUUAGUGUUCUUUCCGGCAACUCCAUCUCUACUCGCUGAUUGGAUGUCAGAAUAAGAUGUUCAAUAAUAUUUUUUUUCAGUAUGAAUAAUUAGAAGUUAAUAAUUUAACUUUUUAACUUCUUGUAUGUUCUUGGCUAUAUGUUUAAUUGUAGGGUAUAUUUUAUUACUAUAAGGUAAUUUAUUUUAUUCGAAAAAAAAAUCAACUUAAAAGUCGUAUGUGAUAUUUUCUUCUGAAGAUUUGAUCGUGCUCUUCAUCAACGAAAUGACUCAAAUUUUAUAAGCAAUUUGAAGAGAUGUAUCGAACAAAAAAUUUAUGUAUCACAAAAAAUUUAUGUAUCCAAACGGUGUCUUAAUUUUAUGUACAAAUUUGAAUUGUCAAUUAUUUAGUGAGUGAAAAACCAUUUUUUUUUAAAAAAAAAUCUACUUGAUCUUCUGGGUUUGGGUCCAAUCAAAAGAGGAUAAAGCAAUGUAAUGUUCGGCCGCUUUGUCAUUCGUCCAAAAUGGCCCGUUGGUAUACACCCAAAUUCUUUCGGAGCCCGCUUGAUUCUCUGUGCCUUGUAAAGCUACAAGACAAAAAAGAGUUAGAGCAAAAGCAUAUUUGGACUUCAAAUUUUGAAUAUAUAAUUAAUUUUUAUAGAUUCAUUACUGUAUUUCAUAUAAUUUUUGUAAUUAUAAAUUUAUUAAUAUAAAUAAUUAAUUUACAUUUUGAAGUCAGCGAUUAUUAGCUAAUUUAAAUCACAUAAAUUGAGAUGUUAAGAAGCAAAAUUAGAAUUUAAAAUGAUUCAUAGUUCAUGUAAGUCCUGUAUAUUUUUUACCUUGUUUUGAACUCCGAGUCUUACAUGCGUGACGACAAAUUUCGGAAGUAAUUGAUCAUAAUUUUUUUAAUUAAUUUAAGGUGAAGAGAAUAAUGCUAUAAAAAUAAAAUUCUAAACUCUUGCCAUUCUUUUAGGUUGUGAGAUAUAAUUAUAUCAACCCUCACAUUCAAAGUGCAUUUUAGUGAAUCCUUUAAUCUCCUAAAUUGCUAGUCAAUUUUACUUUUCCGGUAAUAUUCAGCACAUUUUAUAUAUAAAGUUUGAUUUGAAUGAGUAAAAUACUUUAUUGGGCAUAUACGUACAUAAUAAUUAAGCAACUAGAUGCGGCCCCAUUGAUAGCACAUAUAAGUUUGUGUUUGCUAAUCUUAAAAAAAAAAGAAGAAGAAAUUUAUUCAUUACGCGGAGCGCACGAACUUUAAAGUCACGCGGAUAGGGCUAAACGACAUCACAUUGGAGAUACUCCCGUACUAGUAAAUUAGUUUUUUGGGCCAAACCCCGCGGUACAACAAACUCAAAGGUGCAAACCAUCGUAAAAGUCGGAGGCGAACGCCUCCAUGCGGGCCGGAUCGACCGCGACGGAGACCUGAACCCCGUCCCCGUCUCUCGCGCACACCAUAACCACCUCCCCGUCGUAGUUCAUCGAGACCAGCUCGACCCGGCCCGGUUUACCCCACCCGAAAUCGACAUCGUACGCCUUGAACCGGUUGGAGCCCGACACGUUCACCACCCUCCGCAUCUCGCUCUCCGCGGGCACUAUCUUCCCCACGUCCUCGAUCAGGUACUCGCGGAUCGCGCGCUGGAUCGCCGCGCACGCGCGCGCGAACCCCUCCUCGCCGAUCAAAUCGCCCGCGGGGGCCGCGGCGGAGCACAGCUUCACGCAGUUCCCGAAGUACCCCUCCGGGGCCGGCGGGUCGAGCCGGGCGCGGCAGUCCGCCAGGAAGUGGAGGCAGGCCGGCUCGGCCCGGUUCAGCUGCUUCGACCGGGCCAUGGCGGUCCACACGUGGGCCGAGACGGCGACGAAGGUGGUCGGGGCGAGGGGGCUCCCGCGCUUUUUAAGGGUCCGGAUUUGCUCCGAGUCGAGCACGAAGGUUCGACGGGCGAGAUCGGCGGCGCCGUUGCACUGGAACUUCGGAGAGGUCGUCUUGGAGGUGACACGUACGAGCGGAGCGGAGUCAUAUAUAUAUAUAUAUAUUUAUUAAUUUACUAAUUAAUAUACACGCAUGCGAAGUUACUUAGAAACGAGGCAGUGAAAAUCAAGAAUUAAUAAACUUUCCACUAGCCCCCUAUGUGAGCUACAGAUUUAAACAAAAGGACGACUAAAUAUUUUUUUUUUUUUUUUUUUUUUUUAUUCAGCAUUCGGGUUGAUGAGUUAAACCAGAUAGUUAUAUGAGUGAAACUAAACAGCUUAUAAAUUUGUAGUAAGAAGAAAAAAUCUCAUUCCCUAUGUACAAGAAUAAAGUUGAAGUAAACACAAGCAGUGUAAACUGCUUACCCCAAGAUUAAGAUUUUUUGAUUAGUCAUCAUAUCUUGAAGCGGGCGCAAACAAAAGAUCAACUGUAUGGAGUUUCUACUACUGUCUCGUAUGUAUUACUAUACCGGGGAUCAAUCAAAAGUCAGUGGACGGUUAGGAACACCAAGGUACACAAAGGAUUAGUAAUGGAGAUAAUGUAAGGUAUCAAAAAAGAGGUAUUUCCUCAUAAAACGAAUCAUAAUAAGGACUUGAAAUUGGUAGAAAUGAUCAAGUAGUACUUCCCUACGAUUCCGAUCUAGAGUAUGCUCCUAUUCACUGGUUAAAGAAAUGACUAUCAAGAACGAAUUAAUCCUUUAUUUUUUUUUUAGUAUCCUCCUCUGAGACAGAAGAACAGGAAAAAAGAAAUGGAAUGCAGUAGUUGAAUGAAUAAUAAAAAAAAAAANGAGCUCCCGCGCGUCCAGCUCCGGAACGAGGCUGCGGAAGGCGGCGGCGUCGUGGGCGGGGUCGGCGACGAGGCGGGCGAGGUCGAGAUCGGCGGCGGCCUCGGCCUCGACGAAGGCGACGCCGGGGAGCGGGGCGGAGCAGUCGAUCUCGACGAGGCCGGUGGCGGGGACGAAGGCGAGCUCGCCGGCGAGGGGGUGGAAGCGGAGGAGGGUGGCGGAGAGGGAGGACUUGAGGGCGUCGACGAGGGCCGGGAAGCUCGGGAGGGCGAGGGUUUGGGGGAAGAGGAAGAGGCGCUGGAUCGGGGGGAGCCCGAUCCACACCAUGUCGAAGACGGUGAGCUUCACGGCUGCGUUCGGAGGAGGGGUUUGGGUUUCGGGAACGGAGACGCGGGAGACGUUGAGGAUUCGUACCUUCGACAUUUUCUCUUUUUCUCUUUUUCUCUUGCUCUCUUGCUUGCUUUCUUUUUGUAACUCCACGAAGGUGAGAAAAAAAAAUCUUGGGCGUAUAUUGUUCCAGUAGUCAGAGUACGUGAGGUUUGAAUGUAAUGCUCAUAAAACCUCCACGUGAUCCUCGGAAGAAGGAAAAGACAGGACUCUCAACCUCUUUUUCUUUUCUUUUUUUGUUUUUGUUUUUUGGGCCCCAUUUCGUUUUUGUCAAAGAGUUAUUUAUUGCAAGCAUCGCAUCUUGCACUUGUGAGUCAAUUGCACAUUUUCCCCCAUGAAAUAUUAUUCGAGCUUUACUUUAAGAAAUAUACUAUAUUUGUCGCAUUAUAUGUAGGCCUUUUUGCAUAAAAAAUUCACUUAUUUUGGGCUUUUAUAAAAACGGGCCAUCUUUUUCGUUUUUGCAGAUUCAGUCCACUUUUUCAGCAAACUGACCAAAAUACCCUUAUACGUUUUUCUCUCUCCUCUUUUUUUUUUUUCUAGUUCUUUUUUUCUUUCUUUUCCCCAGGGACUCCGUGUCCGCCUCCCUCUCCCGAUCCGCACGGAAGGUGGCCAAUAGUGGGGGCCUCCGGCCGCCGAAGGAGCAGAGGCGGCGCAGGUCGGGCGCCAAGGUCGGAGUGCACGACUUGUCGGUGGUGACGCUGUGCCUGCGACGGCCGAUCGCGAGCGGAGCUGCAUCCACACGUGCCUCGACCUCGCCUUCACCCCUCCGUGCCUCUCCCACGCCCUCAACCUCUCCACCUCCGCCUCCGCCUCUUCCCUCCUCAUCCCCAACAUCGCUAUCAGGAACGCGAUCCUCAGCUGGUGCGACCGCGCCGGGCUCCCUCACCCGGCUCCCCACUCCCCGGACGCGGCUCUCGACCUCGUCCGAAGCCUCAUGCCGAGGGGGCCGCGCUCCGUGCGCACGCGGAGGGAGAAUUCCCUUGUCGCUGCUGGAGAAGCCAAGGAAGCGCGGGAUUAGGAAGCCCCUGAAGUGGGCGCUUCGUCGAACACCACGAGCGGGGGGCGGGGCCAGGUCGGCGGCAGGGCCGGUGCACGCGGCGGCAGCGGGCGGGUACGCGAUGCACGCGACUUCUUCUUCUUCGUAAUGGUGUAAUGGUAUAAUUACACCAUUAAUGGUGCACCAUUACACCAUGAAGAAGAAGAAGAAGCAGCCGCAGCCGGCCGCGUGCCCGCCUUCCGCCGCCGCGUGUACCGGCCCUGCCGCUGACCCGGCCCCGCGCCGCGACUGCGCUCCCCGCGACCAGCGCCUCCCCCGCCACGACGGCGGGUGGGCACGCGGGCGUUGAUAAAGAUCCAAGGGCGUGGAUGGCGGUGUUGUAGGCGACGGCGUCGGGAGCGAACUUUCGGGACAUCUCCUUGAAGAGUCGAACGGCGUUCCAGGGCUUGCCGGACUUGGAGAGGGCGUCCAUGUAGACGGAGUAGGAGUGGAGGUCUUUGGGGACGCGGUUGCGGUCCAUGUCGAGCCAGAGCUCGCGGCAGCGGCGCCAUCGGCGGACCUUGAGCCAGCCGCGGAGGAGGAGGUUGUAGACCUUGGUGUCGGGGGGGAAGGGGGAGGGGAGGAGGGGGGAAGGGGGGCGGAGGAAGAGGGAUUCGGCGUCGGCGACGAGGCGGCGGUCGCAGAGGGAGUCGAGGAGGAGGAAGGAGAGGGGGCAAGGUGGGGGGGAGGCGGAGGGAGGAGGCGAGGCGGAGGGCAGGGCGUCGGGGAGGAGGCGAAAAGAAAAAAAAACGAACGAAAGAAACAAAAAGAGGAAGAGAACUGUAAUAGGGUAGUUUAAUGAGUCACUUUGCUGAAAAAGUGGACCGAAUCUGCAAAAACGAAAAAGGUGGCCCGUUUUUGCAAAAGCCCAAAAUAAGUGGAUUUUUUAUGCAAAAAGGCCUUAUAUGUAUGUGAAAACUUUAAUAAUGCAGCGUUUGGUUAGAAAAUAAAAAUAGAAAAAGAUCCUUAUCUUCCUCUUUAUAUCCAAACAUUAAUUUUUUUAUCCAAGAAUAAUAGUUUUCGGUUAUCUCUAUCAAUACCUUCAUUGUUAUAUAAAACUAUCUAAAAUUGUUCUUAUCCUCGGAAACAACCUAAUUUUCAUCAAAACAUUAUUUUUCUUAUUCCCAUACUUGUACCUAUUCCUGUAAUAACUAGUUCUUGCUAAAAAUCUUUUACUGGUCAAAUAAUGUAAACUCUUACGUCCUUCAACUCAAACGCAUGAAUUCGCACGAUAAUCUCUUAUUAUAUUGUACAUUUACAUAGCAAAAAUUCAAAUUUGAUAAUUUUAAUAUUUAUCACAGGUUCAUUGGCUCAAUCCCUUAAAUAAUUGCUCGGUACCAGUUACCGACCGCCUCUAGAGCAAGUGGCAAAGAGUUUGGUGGUUGAUAUCCGAGAUUCAAGUUUGAAUCCUAAUUGAUUCACAUUUUCAGCUAAAUUUAUUUUUAAAUGAAAUAAAUGAAACAAGUAACGUGCUAGCUAUCUCUAAAAAAAAAAAAAAAAAAAAAUUGCUCGCUACCAGUUACUCGAUAUCCAUAUAUAAGGGCAAUGUUGUCUCCUUAUUAGCUAGUAUGAGACGAGAGGGGAUUGUGAUUCCCAUCUCUUCUCCCGAUAUUAGACAACUGUCUCUCCCAUUAUUUGUUAUUUGUUAUUUCCAUCCCUUAAAUAAAUGCACUACCGCAUUUGUUAAUGUGUACGUCAAAAUCUUAGGUAUCGUUUGGUUCGGGGAUAAGCAAAAAGUGGAUAUUCCGGAGAUAGGUAUAAAUUGAGGUAUAAGCGGGGAUUAGAUGAAUUUUGCGUUUGGAUGAAAAUUGAGUAUUCCUGAGAAUAAGAAAAAUAACGUUUGGUUAGGUAAGACGGGAUAAGAAUUAAAAUGAGUAUUUAUAAAUAAAAAAUAAUGAUAUUAUUUUUUUCUUUAUAUUAGAAUUUAAAUUUUUAUAUUUUAUAUUUAUAUUUUAAAAUUUAAAAUAUAAACUUUUAAAGUUUAAAAAUUAAAAUUAAAAUUUAAAAUUUUAAAAUCUCAAAUUUAUAAUUUUAAAAAAUUAAUUUUUUAAAUUUUGAACUUUAAUUUAAGAUGAAAUUUUAAUUUAAAAAUACAAAAUAUCAUAUUCUAAAUAUAAAAAAAUUAAAAUAUCAAAAUUUAAAAUUUUAAAUUAAACAAUUUAAAAUUUAAAUUUUUAAUUUUGUAAUUUUAAAAUUAUAAAUUUUAAUUUUUGAAUUUAGAAAAUUUAAAUUUUACUGGUGGAACAAGCAAGGUGAUCCUAAAAAUACUUUCUUUAAAAUUCAAAAAUUGAAAUUAAACUCUNUAAGGGUGGGAACAAGCUAUUCCCACCCUUAACGGGUUAUCCCAGGAUAAUCCGUUAAGGGUGGGAAUAGCUUGUGGGAUAACCCGUUAAGGGUGGGAAUAGCUUGUUCCCACCCUUAGAUAUAGUGUUUGGGGAACAAGGAGGGAAUAACCCCUUAUCCCCACCCUUGUUUCCCAACCAAACAGGGCCUUAAAGAUCUUAAAUGAUUGUUCAGCCAAAAAUAGCACCUCUUAAUUAUAUUAUUAAAUCGACUCCUCGUGUUUCUUAUCAUAUUAAAUUUGAAUUAACACGAGUCCGCUUAUAUAUUUUGAGUGCCUAAGUUUUUAAAUUUGGAUGAAUUUAUUAAAUAUGUUAUAUUUUAUAGCUAAUGCGAGUUAGAAUCCGAUAGUCUCCUUAACACGACUAAUUAUUCCAUUCUCACUAAUUACAUGGUUUGCCUUGUAUAGUUACACUCGGGCAAAAUGAAUAGCAUACUAUACGUUCUCCCAUAACGUAUCAUUUAUUAUUUUAUCUGGGGUUUUAAUAUUUACAAAAGCAGAUCUUUGAUAUUCCCAGAAUAAUAUUCAUUAAUAUAUUUUAUUCUGUGAAUAAUAUGAAGUGCAAUGCAAAUUCAAACUCCCAUCCGUUUGUCGAGACUAGUAGCUAGUCACGCCGAGCCCAAAUUUGGGUGGGCUCUGAUCGAAAUCUCUGGGCCUAAUUAGGCUUGAAGUGUUUACGUACACUGAUCGAUAGUAUUAGGACCCAUUUGGUACUCGAGCUCAUCUACUCCUAGUAGGUAAAAUGGAGUUAAAGUAAAAGCAUAUAAGAACAUAUUUUCCUAUUUUUCAAAAAAAUAUAGAUAAUGUAUUAUAAUUAACUAAUUGCAAUAUGCAUAACGUGAUAUAUAUUACAUACGGAAACGAAUAUAUAUUUUUCUAUUGUACUUUCUUACUGCACGCAUAUAACACAAUCUCCCUACAAUCUCAAAUGAAGACGCGUCAAAAUAUUUUUUAUGCCCUCAAAGUGCUCAAUGGUACGAGAAAGCAAAAU